GUCCUGUCCCAAAGGAGAUGCCUGCCAAAAGGGAGUAGAAGGCUCAAGUCAAGAGAAGACACAGGACUGAUUCAAGGCUGUGGGGUAAGAGCAGUCCCAAAUGGUUGGUGCCAAUCCCUUUCUGCUCACCUCAGCUUGAUGACAUGGAAAGGUUUAAACGUCUGUUGAGUCUUUCGCGGGAUGUGGCUAUUGAGAAACUGGGAGCUCUAAAGAGCCCACUCAAGACAAAGAGCAUGGGUCCUGUGAUCUUCUCAAUAAAUUAGCACCAAUUCUCUGCCAAGCACUGGGCUAAUAGGUACAGUGGGACUCAACUGUGUGGAGACUCAGACCCUGUCCUCCAAAGAUCUAGAAUUCUGCAAGAGAGGUAUAAUGUGCAAAUGUUGCUUAAAAAUGAGACCGCGUGCCAUAAAUGCCAUUAGAAAAAUAGAAUCAAAUUAAUAUUCCUGAAAAAUGAAGGAGAUCCUGAUACAUGCAACUAACUUGAAUGAGCCUUAAGGACAUUAUUCUAAGUGAAAUAAGCUCAUCGCAAAAAGACAAAUACUGUAUGAUUUCACAUAUGAUUUUCACUUAUUUGACUACCUAAAGUAGUCAAAUUCAUUGAGAUGAAAAGUAGAAUGGUGGUGGUCAGUAGAACGGGGUGGUGAUGCUUAAUGGGUACCGAGUUCCAGUUUUGCAAGAUGAAAAAGUUCUGGAGAUUGGCUGCACAACAGUAUAACUACGCUUAACAGUAUUGAACUGUAUGCUGAAAAAUGUUUAAGAUGGUAAAAUUUAUGUUAUGUGUAUUUUGCCAUGACUAGAUAUAAAAACAAUUAAUGGAAAAAAACUGCUAGGGACCUACAGAAAACGAAGCGACUGUAUAUGUAACUAGAGAUACCCAGGAAGUCUUCAUGGAGGAGGAGGCAUUUGAACUGAGCCCCUUUUAGAACAGAGAGGCUAAAACCUGGACAGGAAUAGGGCAUUCCAGGUGAACAGAGCAGCAGGAGCAAAGGCACACCUUUAAAAAAAAUAAUAAAUCCAGAAAUUUCUCUCUUCCAUUGCAUCAACUCUUAACAGACAUUUUUCCAGUGAUCAAACUGCUGGAGCCUGUAUCUGUGACUCUCUCCUGUGACAUCUCAGCAAGGCCAGGCUCUCCUGCUUCUCCCUCCCUUCAUCUCUCUCCCUCUUUCUGUGCAUGCCUCUUCCUGCCUCUUGUUCUCCCUCUCUCCCUGGUGUCUUUUGAACCUUCUAAAAUGAAAUCCUCGACAAAGGUUUGCUUUCAGCCCAGAAUUAACCUUCCUUGAGGUCUCUUGACUAACAGAAAAUACCCAGAGACUCUCACACCUUUAUUAACAGACCCUGUUUUGUUGUUCCUUUUUCUCCCUGGAUACCAGAAGCUUGAGAAGAAAUUACCUCACCUCCUACAACAGGCUAGGUCUCAAUUGUAAGAAGGGUCUUUCUGACAGACGUUUCCAUUGUCAAUUCUCCCUGAUUAACGGCAGUUUUAUAGAACAGCACUCUGACGGAGGAGAAGGGAAAGAUACAGAUUUAUACUUAAUUCGUGAACAGAGUCAAGAGAAGGGUGGGUUCCACCAAGAAUUUCUUCAUCUUUGGAAGGAUUAUUAAAAUCACAGCUUAUUAUAUUCCCCAUGUUCAUCAUGGAGAUCUAUGGCCGGCAUCCUUUUGUGAUGAGAAUGGUAACCGGGCCCAGGGAAGGCAUCGAAGGCUCCGGAAAGAAAGCCCCCCUGCACAGGCCUGGGGAUUCAGGACGGGCAGGCAAGAAGGUUCAUUUGCUCGGGGAAGAGUCGUGGAGCUCAGUCUCCCCGUCCCCAAAGUACAGACUCACGUAGUGGGAAUGCGCAAAACGUGCCUGUGAGAGCGAAUCGAGCUGACCUGAAGUGAAACCCCGCUUCACUCUGCCCACUGUGAUUUGGAGAAGCUGCCAGAUCUCUGGUUAGAAAACUGCUUGUUUUCGGUUUUCUGUCUUUUCACCCGGUCCUUCAUUUUCGAUCGUUACCUUUCGUUCUGGUUGAGGAGGACGCGUGCCUUUUUUGGGGGGUGAAUCGAGCCACGGCCUGGGCAUAUCAGAGGAAGCAUCAUCACAGGCCCUGUCUCCUCUCCACGGCGUCUCCACUCUAGAGAAUUCACGUUGCGCUUUUUCUCACCCCUUCGGCUCAGUCUAGACAGAUGGUUAAGUCAUCCAAUGCUGGAGAGAGAGCAGAGAUCAGUGUGAACAUUUACUUUGUUGUGCUUGAACGCUUUGGAGUUGAGGGGGGAUAUCCAAGUUAGGGACCACAGUCUUUCCUCGGUGUCUAUUCAGUUCCAUUAAAAAUUAUCACAAGCAGAUCAUGGACUCUCAGCAUUGGGUGGAACCUCGGGUAUUACCUUAGCCAAGCCACGCAUGAUGCAAGAAUCCUCCAGAAGCAUCCUAGCUGGCUGUUGCUGGUUCAAGCAGCCACGCAUUUUCCCUCAUGGAGGGCGAGCUCCUUUUAGUAGUGAAUUGACUGUUGGAAAACUCUUCCUUAGACUAAGUGAAAACUAGAAUCUGUUUAUUUAAUGACAUCCACCCACAGACACUAGCACCUGGUAUAUAUGUGUGUGGACUGACCGACGGACAGGCUGACUGACUGAGUCAGUGAUUCCGCAGAGUAAACUGGCAGCAAGGAGGAGAACAAGGUCAGGAGAGAAGACAAUUGCAGUGGUGAGAAGUCACGGGCUGAGUAGAAAGCGAGGAGAAAAGAACGUUCUUCUCUAAGGGUUUGUUUUCUCCCUGGCGAGGAACAGAGGAGAAAUGAUUGUCCCAGCAAAUGUUUCCACUCCCUCACAUCUUCCAAACAAACCAACAGGAAACCCCAAGAAUCUAAUUCAUAAGUAAAUCACCUUUCACAUUUGUGGAAUGAAUGAAAGUACUUUGGAUUAGUGAAAAGUUGCUCAAGACAACUAUCGCCGGUUUCCCUAAGUUACUUUCUCGUGACUUCUCUCCCUCCCUCUUUCUCUAUUUCUCUCUCUCUGUCUCUCUCUCUCUCACACACACACACAAUGCCAUGUGCGUGCGUGCGCGCGCGCGCACACACACACACACACACACACACACACACACACACACACACACACACACACCAGAACUUACAGAUCGUGGCCUCCCGGCCUCCUCAGAGCAAGCUAGCUAGAUAAAGCAGCUAACAGUGACCUUUGCUUCAGCUCUGUCACCCUCCCCCUCUGUCUCUCCUCCUUAAACAGCUGCCCGCCCCUCUGCCUAUUGGGAGGGCCGAAGGUCCUCCCCCCCUUCCCCCGACUCCCACACACCCAUCCACGGCUCCAUGUUCUUGCAGGGCUGCUCAGCUAGAGCGGGAGCCUCCUCCCCUGGCAGCAGCCAGGCAGCAAACACGCAAUGCAUCUUUCCUGCCGCUGUGUGGGAGGGUUGGGGAGAAUUCCCAGGGUGCAGGCCGCAAGCGCUCCCCUGAAUCUCCAAGUGAAGACGGCUCACCCAGGCUCGCACGGCUUCACGUGGUCGUCCUGAACUUGGCCUCCGAUAAUCCGACAUUUUCCCAGCCCGUUUUCCUUCCCACCCCGUCGCAUACCCUAGGAUUCCCCCUCUCUGGGCACCACAGAGCGAUCUCUUCCCUGUAAAUGGGAGAGACGUCUUCCUUUGCCAAGAUGUCUCCCUACAGGAACCCAUCCUCCAAUGUGGUCCCUUCCGGAGGUCACCGGAAUAGAGCGCAUGGCAGCAAAGGCCGUAGAGGCUGGUACUAAAGCCGCCACUUGUGUUCUGGCUCCUUCCUGGAGAGGUAACCUCCCUUACUGCAGGUCUCUCGUCGUCUGGUAUCUGGGAUUGGGAUGCCGUGGCCAUCACAGCCAAGUGAGAUGGACGGGAGGCAACCGUACGCCCUUCUCUGGCAGCAAGGACGGCCAAUCCGGAUAAUACCAGGCAGAUCCGGAUCCUCCCAGUGUUUGGUGAUUGAGCUACAAAUAGACCCUCGGCUUUUUGCCUUUCAUUUUGCAGAUAACUGUAGUUAUAACUCAUCAGAGGUCUACAAGACAGUCUCUGUGCACUAGUGCUUACAGAAUUCUCAAUGUGGAAAAGAUCCUAGAUGUGAAUCAAGGUUAGGGAGCUCCUCCUAUGCUUCUGACCUUCUGCUGGCAGGUUUACUUCCGUUCACCCAAUACAGGAUGUCUUUUUCAACCCUAUGAAUUGAAAUUGGUCAUUGCUCUCUGCCCUCUAUCGGCACUUUGGUAGACCAGAUACUCUAGGAGAAGCUUCAUGUGGCCCUGUCUGCAGUUAGUGGGUGAGUGGGUGCCCUGCCUGUCUCUCUACUCAGACUGGGGGCUCCGUGAGGGCAGGUCGCACUCUUCCUGAAUCCCUCCUGGCUCCCAGCACAGACUCUCAUUCACAGGAGUUUAAAAAGGGCGCAUGUAGUAGAGUUCCCAUCUUCUGCUUUCCCUUCUACUGAGCCAAGAAAUAGCGACCUAUCCUAAGCAAUGGGAGUCUGGCCUCCAUGAGAAUGGCUCCCAUGUAUAGAGGGGUUUUUAUUCAAGAAUCUGGGGGCACCCUGGGUGGCUCAGUUGGUUAAGCUCUGACCCUUGAUCUCAGCUCAGGCCUUGAUCUCGGGGUGGUGAGUUGAAGCCCUGUGCUGGGCACGAAGCCUACUUAAAAAAGAAAAGGUGGGGGCGCCUGGGUGGCUCGUUCGGUUAAGCAUCUGACUUCAGCUCAGGUCAUGAUCUCAACAGUUCGUGGGGGGGAGCCCCGCCUCGGGCUCUGUGCUGACAGCUCAGAGCCUGGAGCCUGCUUCGAAUUCUGUCUCCCUCUCUCUCUGCCCCUCCCCUGCUUUCUCUCCCUCUCUCUCUCUCUCAAAGAUAAAUAAACAUUAAAGAAAAAAAAAUCUGGUGAGACCAGAGAGAAGAGUUAGAAUGUGCUCCAGAUGUCCUGCCAGAAUGAGCCCCAACAAUAUGUAGGGGCCUAAGUAAGCCCAAGUCUUACAGGCUUGUCCUCCUCUGUAUGACCUUGGCUUAAUGACAGGAAGCCACACGCUUCCUUUGGCCUAAGAUGCCCGGAGCAGCGUCUGUCCUCCCAUUAAGUGUUGUCAGGAUGGUAGCUAAACCUCUCUGAUUUUGCUGGAUAAUUUCCACUUCAAGUGUUCUGUCCCAUCGCUCCCAUCCAUUCCCGUGUAUGCGCCAGACCGUGCCAUUUCCGGUUAAGAAAGCAGAGUUUGGACUCCCACUCUCCAAGAAUCCUUCUUUUGGCUCUUCAUACAUCCACUCUGAUCGUUUGGGUUCCCCCUAAAGCGGACACAGGCAAGACACCGAGACAAGAACUCAAUCGCAGUGUAUUUGGGAGGUGCCAAAAAGAAAAAAAAAAAAAAAAAACCGGAAACGGGAAAGAGACAAGACAAAGAAGGCAGCUCAUAAAGGAUCUGCGAUCUAGCCAGCUACCAGUGUGGGGUCACUUAAUCCCGUCAGGGAAACUCUGGGGCUGGUGUCAAAUGCAGUGUUGAGAGGUAGCUCGCCUCAAAGGGGUGGAGACCAGGGGGUCCUUCCCCGGUGCUCAUCAGUCACUGGUUGCAGGAUGCUGCCUUGGGGCUGCUCUCAACCUUCCAGCUGUUAGCAGGUGGCGCUCCAGGGCGAGCGGACGUCCCUAGGCAGCAAGAAGAUACCGGUGCUGGCGGGUAGAAGCUGGAGUGGCGUGUGGGGAUUGCGAAUGGCCAGGAGGCGUUGUGGGGCACUGGCCAAGUGCGCCUCACCUCUCCCUUCUAGGAGACACAGCUGUAAUUCCCCUUGAGGGGCUGUGGCUUGUCAUGCCGGAGAGCAAAGCCCUUUGAGAACAGGACCCAGGAUAUAAAUCGGUGGCCAAAGAGACUGAAGAAAAAGACACCGAAAAAUGUGGUGGGUAGGCACUAAGGCCGACUCUUCAGGCCUCCCGACUCUGCGUGGACCAGUCUGGUUAGUCACGUGGGGACUGGAGGCAGAGCUCAGAGCUGUUUCUAACAGGUGGGUGGGUGAGCCUGACCCCAGCCAGAGGCCCGAGGGUGUCCGGUUUCACGGGGACUUUAGCAGGAGAAAGCAGGAGGAAUAAGCAGGCGUGGGACACGUCGGGGACUCAUAGCUACUGGGGACCAAAGUCCUGCUACAGGGCAGCCCUUCCCAUCCAUUGGCUUAUUCCAGCCUCACAACACCCCCUCCAGAUCAGCACAUGACCCCUGAGAUGGCCCCCGGGGGUUGUGCCCGCUCAAAAUGGCUUCCUCUUCUUCUGGGCGAUGCUGAUUUAAAUUUUUUUUUUUUCCAACGUUUAUUUAUUUUUGGGACAGAGAGAGACAGAGCAUGAACGGGGGAGGGGCAGAGAGAGAGGGAGACACAGAAUCGGAAACAGGCUCCAAGCUCUGAGCCAUCAGCCCAGAGCCCGACGCGGGGCUCGAACUCCCGGACCGCGAGAUCGUGACCUGGCUGAAGUCGGACGCUUAACCGACUGCGCCACCCAGGCGCCCCGGGCGAUGCUGAUUUAGACCACGAGGUGGGGCGAGGGCUGCCAGUCGUGGUCUUCCAUCGAUCUGGCCACAGAGGCUGCUCCAGCUACCGUUCACCCUGGUUUUCUGGACAAGUAUGCUAAAGCUCAGAAAGGUUAGGUCACAUGCCGGGGCCACAUAUCUCCCCGGUGCUAGGGCCGGGAGACCCUCCGUGGAUGUCUGGCUCCGAGGCCAUUGCACUGGGUCCUCAGGUCAGUUUCAGCAACAGCAUGUGGGCUAGUGCCAACGGGGAGCCAGAGCUGGCUUUUAUUCGCAAGAGACCAUCAUCCGUAUUCUGUAAUUCUGCAAGCCAGUUACCGUCGUGUUGUCAGCUUGGGGGUAUUUACACCACAGAAAUUGGCAAAUGAUACAAAACCGGGGCUUCCUCCCACCUGUUGUUAAAUAUUAAACACACGCAUCUUGGAAAUUCAUGUCUUCCCUGGGCCCCACAGGGACAUUCUCAAUGUCCCUUUGAUGUCCCACCAGAUGCCUAGUGCCCACCUGAUGUCUGAGUCUGGUAAGAAAUGUCCCCAGUGGGGGGCGCCUGGGCGGCUCAGUCGGUUGAGCGUUCGACUUCGGCUCAGGUCAUGAUCUCGCCGCCCGUGGGUUCCAGCCCCGCGUCGGGCUCUGUGCCGAUAGCUCGGAGCCUGGAGCCCGCUUCGGAUUGUGUCUCCUCUCUCUGCCCCUCCCCCACUUGCGCUCUGUCUCUGUUUCUCUCUUAAAAAUAAACACACAUUAAAAAGUAUUAAAGAAAAAAAAAAAAGAGAUGUCCCCAAAGAGUCCUAGGUACCUGGUUGGGCCUUCCCCAGCCUGCCAUCAGGGGCAAGUGCAAAGCUUCUUCUGCUUUUGAUCUUACACAGUUCAGCUCAGCUUGAGGCUCCCAUAGAGUGUGCUGCGGGACUUGGCAAUGACGUAAUCCCUGCAUCCAGGCCUGCCUCACCCGGGAAAGGGAAGAGUUUUAGGGGAGCUCAAGCAUGAUCACCCCCAGCUUGCUUGUGGAGUCUUCCACAGAGAAAGGAGGAGAGAAGUUUCUUCCUGUGAGAUGAGUGGGGAACCCAGAGUGUCAUGGGCAUGAGCACAGCUUCCUCUGGUUUGUCUUCAUCACUCUUGGGCUGAGGUAGUCACAGCCCUUAUUUCUAAGAUCAGACCUUCUUGGGUCAGUUUCGGCUCUGGUCAUUGAAAACAGAAGUCAAUGACACAGUUUUAGGGAACAGACUAUCCUCAAAGAUACAUCCCAAAAUAGAUACUCUACCUUGUGUGUGUGUGUGUGUGUGUGUGUGUGUGUGUGUGUGUGUGUGUGUCUGGUUGAGUUUUGUUUGUUGUUUUUCCCAGACUUGGGAGAGAGCCCUCCAGAAAAGCAAAAGUGGGAGACUUCUGUGGGCUUUGACUAGAAACCAGGAUAAAACAAGUCAGAGGGGGCAGAGAGGUCUCCAGUUCCAAAGAGGAAACUGGGGGAGACGGGUUAAUUCCUCCGGGUCACGAGGGUCCUUGCAGAAGGAACAAUUUCCAAAGCUAACAACAUUCCUCUAAAUGCCUGCCUGACAGCUUGGCCGAGAUCCAGCUCAAAAAUGCAUUUGAAAAUUUUAAGGCAACAACUUAGAUAAUUGUAUUCAGAACUGGAAAUAAGUGACCUUGGGCUAAAACUUCUCCAACCCAGUGGAACGAUUUAAAUGCACGUGUUAGUGCUGAUAUUUAAUCCUCUACCAGCACCCAAGACAGCAGAACAAUCCUUCCUUUCAAACUUUUUCAGCCUCCUCCCCUCACAGAACCUUCCAGGGCUAAGCAAUUUGGACUUUAAAAUGCUAGCUGUUCUUGCUUAUUAUCUCCCAGUAAAGUGCUACAAGGGUCUGAGUCCCAUCUCCUGCCUUCUGCCCUAGCUGCUGCGGAUCGUGUGGAUGACAUCAAUGUGGCAGGGACUGUAUAAGCCCCCCAUGUUAAAAUCUAACAUUAAAUGGCCGAGCACCACCCUGCCUUUUGACUCAGCUCAAAGAAUAGGAGCCUGAUGCUUUCUGUAAUUUGCAGGCACACUCAGGCUGCAGGGCACCUCUAGAGGAAUGAGCUUCCCCGGGUGUCAGACCUCAGGUACAUGAAAACCCCUUGAAAUGAUGCCACAUGGUGGCUCUUGGUCACAUCUGAGCCAUGGCUCUCCAGCUCUGGGAGGGCUUUCCUCCCUCAUCUUUCCUCCCUCAUCUGUCCCCAAAAUGUGCUUUCCCCUCAUCUGUCCAACCACCUGACACUUGGGCCCAGUCUGUCCUCACGACACAUGCUAGGGUGAUAAACCAUCUACUCUGGGGGGACGUAGUCAAUAUCUGUUACAUUUCUCAACCUUUCCUUUGGUUCUGAGUUUUCAGAGGUGUCGUCUGAUUUCGUCACCUAUGUGAAUGCAAAGUUGACACCUUCCAAGCUGACUUCUCACCCUCUGCAACAUCUCCAUCACGUUUCUUAAGGGGCAUUGUUGAGAACCUUUGGACUUUGGAAGUCUUUUACCAAGAUAGUUUUUUAUAAAAAAAAAAAUUCUGUUUCUCAUUGCCAACUUGAAUAAGUAACACCAUUAUUUUUACUUUGAAUUUUUACUCUAUAUACAAUACAUACAUAUUUUGCUAUAAAUGUAUGUUCCUGCCUAAUUUAAGCCUUUAAAAACUCAAAUCAAGUCAACUGCUUAUUAGUAUGUAUGAUGUGUUCAGGCUAUGGACUAGCUAGGGAAUUAAAGAAAAUAUAAGCUCUGUUAUUUGGGCUCAAGGAACAUAACAUCUUGUUGGGGGAAUAAUAGAGGAGAGUGUAGAUACAGCACUGGGGUACAUGGACAAUAACAGACAGGAACCAUCAGCCCCGGCACUAGUUUAUAAGCCUGACAUCUCCAGGAAAACAGGAUCUCCACCACAACACUGGCCCAACAUAGAGGAUGGAUGACAGCCAGAUUCUUAACUAGCGACUCUUUCAUAAACAGAACUGGAAUGGCCUCUAGAAGGACAAGUGAAAAACCUAUAAAGAACCUUGUGGAAAGCGUGAACUCAUCCUUUUACCAGAUCCUACUUGGAGAAACUCUGGCCCCUGCAUUUCCAGGAUGAGAUGAAGGGAGACCCAUGUGGCUCACAGAAAAAGCAGAGACUUCACCCAUCUUGCGUGUAUCCUAUCCCCACGGCAGUAAGGCUUUGAACGUCCCUCACCUACGUCAAAGGGGUUCAUUUGACCAAAGCUUGCUUAAUUCAUAAGAAGGUGUCAGCUCCCCCCAUUCUCGUCCCAAUACCAUACCAGUCCACAUCUGAUAGCUGACGGGCAAUUAUCAGGGAGAGAGGGAAGAGCAAGUUUUGUCCCCAGUUGUAGCUUUCCCUUGGGUCUUCCCCUGUGACCAGAGUCAGUCAAUCAGGUGAAUCCCAAGUUAUACAAAUCCAGCUGAUGCAAUUUAGAGGGAGAGAAAAAGCAAAAACACUUUAUGGUCAAGGAGAGAAUGUGUUUAUCAUCUUCCUUAAUAUAUGAUAACAUUUAGAGUAUCUGAUGCUGGAAAAAACAGAGGCUUUCAAAAUAAUUUUGAAGCCCUAUCCUUUCCUCUAAAUAAGGAGUCCUCAAUAAGUCCCCUGUUUUUAUCUGAAGUCAACCCCAACCUGGGGCGCCUGGGUGGCUUAGUCGGUUAGGCGUCCAACUGCAGCUCAAGUCAUGAUUUCACAGUUCGUGAGUUCGAGCCCCCUGUCGGGCUCUGUGCUCAAGCUCAGAGCCUGGAGCCUGCUUCGGAUUCUGUGUCUCCCUCUCUCUCUCUGCCCACCCCCCACUCACACUCUCUCUCUCUCUCUCUCUUUCAAAAAUAAAUAAAUGUUAAAAAAAAUUGAAGUCACCCCCAACUUGCUGAUUUAUGCAUCAUCUUGAUCAGUUGUCUGUUCAGAGUUCUAGUAGUUCUGUCUCUAAACAAUUUGGCCAAAUUGCUCGACCUCUGUGGUAUUGUUUUCUUACCCUAAAAAUGAAGCUGUGAUCUCUAGGUUCCCUUCUAGUUCUUAAAAUCUAAAAUUCUGUGACUGUGCUGCACAGAGAUAGACUUGCCCUCAAAGAAGUGUUCUUUAUUUAGGGACUCAUUUCUGUGGGUAUUAAUCUUCAGCAACCCAAGAAAUGCACGGCGCCACAAAUAGGCUGGGACAGAAUACUUUCCCAGGAAACCUAGAAUUUUCCAGAAUGACCAGGGUGAUCCACUCCCAGCAGCCUUUUCAGUCACACUUGGCCCAGAAAGAACCACACCAUCUGCAGGGAUGAGUAACUCUAAGAAAGUAGGGCAGUGAUGAAAAGUAGGUGCAGCUGGAUGGAAUUUCAAGAAGCAAAGGCCUGACAAGCCGACAGUACAUUACCAUGCUAUCAGCACGUGAUUCUUGCAAUGAUCGGGUCUCUGGACGCCAAUUGUUCUCCACACCUAGGCUUGCCCCUAGCCCGUGAAGAGUUUAAAGACGAGGCUGGGAGGGGAAGCAGAGCGAAGGGAGGGCGAGGCGCAUUAACGUGUCACCUCGACACUCACCUGAGCCCUGAAUGAGGCGUGGUUCGUGCAAACGGUAACCGGCGCUUCUCCCGUGUGUCACGUACCGUAUGGGCUUCCCCCGCCCUGCCCGCUGGGCCCGCAGGGUGCGUCAGAUAGGUUGAAACAACUCUGGGAUCCGGAAGAUGGCUCGCCACCCAUCGAACACUGUACCCAGACACUGCCUUGGCCUCAGGCACCGUGGGGGUUCUGCUGUGUCAGGGACCCAGCGCUGCAGUCGUUUUGUCUUUCAAAUGAGAGACGGCAGGCAGCCCAAGAAGGGACAGUGUAGCGUGGGACUGGGGAGGGCUAGACGGCUCCGUGAGGAGCCUGUAUCCCUGAGGCUGGAAAGUAGAAGAUGCUGGCAGCUCUGGGAGUUCCGGCUUGGUGACCUGGCCUCCCUCACGGGCACUUUCAUGACUUGCUCUGUCGACAUUUCCUAGUCCCGAAGGCAAAGGGAACUUUCUCCAUUCAACAGGAGAAACAGGCACUGCUCACCUUGGAUGUGGAGAUUCUGUCCUGUUGCAUGCAUUAGAAGAUAGUGGCACCUAGGGGAUCAUACACACACAUACACACACACACACACACGCAUAUACACACACACACAUACACACACACAUACACUCACACAUAUACACACACACAUACACUCACACACACAGACACACACACAUAUACACACACAUACACACACACAUACACUCACACACACAGACACACACACAUACACACACAUACACUCACACACACACACACACACACUCACACACACACACACAUACACUCACACAGACACACACACACACAGACACACACACAUACACUCACACACGCAGACACACACACACACUCACACACACAGACACACACACAUAUACACACACACACACAUAUACACUCACACACACAGACACACAGACACACAGACACACAGGAGUGCCCACUCUGGAGCCAGGCUCCUGCUGUGACUGUGGAGCCCCAGGCUUUCCAGCCCACUGGUGAAACCACACUCUGCUUUCUGUCCUGGGCAACGAGGGGUGGAACCAGAGGGACCAAGUACUGAAGAAAAGGUCCCGGUUUGGCAUGAAAGUUGCUGAAGUUGCUGCUGUACCCACAUAGGGGACUUCGGCCUCUGCCAGGGCAGUCGGAGCUCGAAACCCACUCCAGCAUCCAAACCCUGUGGGGUCUCUGGGCACGAGUCCCUGGUAACUCCACACCACCCCAGACAUUCCUGAACAGGAAUGAACUCCAUGCCUGUCCUCGGGCUACAGUUGCCCCUGCAGGGAAAGGCAGGUCGGGUGGGGCCCUUAGAGGAGGCUCCCAAAGAACACCUGCUCUGAGAAAUGCUGUGAAUGACUCACCACAUGACGCUCGUCCCUCGAAUUCAGCCCAGACUCUGUGCCCAGCCUGCCGGCAGGGCUUGGAGCAGUUGUAGAGUCAUAAACCAAGAGGUGAGUCAUAAACCAAGAGGCUGACCGUCUACACUCCUGAGGGACCCAAGACUUACUCAUAAAAAGGCAGGCAGAACUCAUUUCUAUUCACCUUCUCUCCUUCUGGCCUCUCUUUGCCCACGGUGAUGAUGGCAAGUGCCACGGUAUGUGCGAAUAUGCUUUUUCACUGCUUCCAAACUGUUGUUGAAAAUUUCUAGACCAUGUUAAGCAAAAAGAGUUAACUUGAGAAGGCUACACAGUCUAUUAGCGUAGGUGAUCAAAUUACGCAGCCAAUAAUCUAAAUCUGCACAUUCAAUAUGGUGGCCACUGGCUACACGCGACAAGUUAAAUAAAAUGAAUUAAAAUUUAGAAUUCAGUCUCCCAGUUACACCAGCCACGUUUCAAGUGCUCCGCAGCUACUUGUGAGUGCAAUAAUGAACAGCUCCGUUAUGUAUUCCAUCAUCACAGAAUUUCUAUUGGACAGAGCUGAUCUAAAUACAUAACAAGUAUUAGGAAUCCACUUAGCCAUGCACUUAUUUGUUUACUAAGCAAACAGAUGGAGGGUCAGCCAUAGGUAAGCACCUGUGGGGGGAACAAAGAUGAAAAACAGGUGGUCCCUGCACCCCAGGAGUUUGUAACUGAUUGGGAAUCCAUAUGUGUAACCAAGCCACAGACUUUUCCAUCCAGGGAAUGAAACUACGCAGGAGUGAGCAGAAUUCUUACAAAGAGCCAGCUUUAGGGAAGAAAAGCAGAAGAGUGAGUCAACCUGGUUGGACCUGAGCUUAUAAAUACUUCAUCAGCAUCUGCAGCAGAUAUGGGUGCGGUGAGUUAGCUUAGACCUGAGUGAAGGUGUCACAGAGCAAUUAAGCCAAGAAAAGGGAAGCUCAGACCCAACCCCCAGAGCCUUCUGAUUCUGCCCUGUAAAGAGGGCAAUUUUGCGAAUACAGCUGGUCCAAAAGAGGGCCAUUUUCUCAGGCAAUCACAUCCCAACCAAAGGGCUUGUGUAGGUUAAUUUUGCCCUUCGCCUCCUGGAAUUCUUGAACACUGUGCUUCCCACCACACUUCUGAGAAAGUGGUGAGCAACCAGCUGGCUCUUUCUCCAGCCCAGCUGUUCCUUGUUUGAAGGAUUUUCACUGAGUGAUUUUUAAAUGUUUUUACAAGGUGUUCAAAUUGGGCAGCCGCAUGUGAUAUGCAUCAAGUACAGAGUCUGGACAAGCAAUCACCAAGCACCAAGAGUGACCAGUUCUCAAGAACUUCUCAGCAAGGUCAUCUUUGGGAGGGAAUGCCCAAGGAAGAAAAACAUCAGAAAACAAAGGGCAGACACUGGCUUUGUUAAGUAGAGAUACUAUCUGAAAAUGACCAUUUGAGUGGGAAGGAAGCACAUGGGGAGAUGCAGAAACCCAAAUCCAAGCCCCCAGAAGGAUGGGGGGCGGGGUAUUUUCAACCUCGAGGGAGUUCUAAUAACUUACAGCUGGGUGACGCGGUACCCCUGUCCUCUAAAGACAUGUAUGAAUUUGCUUGGGGGGAAUGUUUCUUAACAUUGAGGGUUCACUGGAGAUGGUGCGAGUCAUCAGACCAGGCUACAGAAGUCUUCUGAAAGAAAGACUAUGGAAACAGGAAACUAUCUUUUUGUAAUAUUUUGAAUAGGGUACACAUUCGCAGGAUUCAAACUUCAAAAAAUAUAAAAAGGUUCACAGUGAAAAGUCUCCUUUUCACACCUACCCCCAUCUGCCUGGUUUCCAAACCUCUCUCACCUCUACUUGGGCAAUCAUUUUGCACCUCACCUAAUUCCUUUAUGUUUUUACAAGAGAACACAAAUAGAUAUUCUCAUUUCUCCUCCCCCCUGUUAUACACAAAAUGCACCAACUAUUUAUGCAGGCCUACCUUUUUCUUAACUGUCUUGUAGCUAUCUUGGAUAUCUUGGAUCCCUUCCCUGUCACGAGCACAUCUCAUUCUUUUUCUCAGUUGCAUGAUAUUCUAUUGUACGGAAUCUGUCAUCACCAUCUACCCAAUGGUACCCGAUUGAUGGGCACUUAGCGGCUCCCUAUAUGUCACCAUUACAACAGUGUUCUAAUUAAUAACCCUGAAUAUGCAUUAUGUCACAUGUGUACAAGUAUAUCUCUGUAGUCAAAUCCCAGAAGUGGAGCUCAAGGUAUAAGCGGUUACAAGCUGGGUAGAUAUCGUCAAAUUGCCUUCCACGGAGUUGUGCUAAUUUACCUUCCACCAGCAGUGGUUGGUAUUGCGACCAGACUGUGUUAUCAAAUUCUGGGAUUUUUGCCCACAUAAUAGGUAAAAAUGGGAUCUGUGUAGAGAAUUAAUUUGCAUUUCUCUUAUGAUGAGUGAGAUUGAACAUCUUUUGUAUGUUAAAGAGCCAUUUGUAUUUCCUUUUCUGUGAACCAGCUAAUCAUAUCUCUUGCACCUUCUUCUCUGGAGUUAUUGGCUAUAUUUAAAAGUCAGUUUAUUGAUUUUUAAAAUCGACUUUCUUUAUCAAUUUCAAGCUCUUUAUUUAUCAAGGACACUAGCCCUUGGUAACAUGAGGAACAGUGAAUAUAAACACAACUAAUCAAGAACUCUCUUGCUCAAAGAUGUUUGCAUGAGUUCCCAUAAAAUUCUUGACAAGGCAAGGCCUUCCAUCCCCACUCCUCAUGCUCUCCCCCAGCCCACCUUACGCAUCACCUCAGGUCACCCCAGGUUUCUAGUUGUCCCUCUCUCACUUGAUUUUCUUUCUUCUUUGUAUUAGUUUUUUCCUCUUCCUGGGAUGAAAUUUCCCCUUUGUCCUCCUGGUAACUUCCCGCUAAACUUCUCAAGGCCUAUGGCACUUCUCAUUGGAAAGAGCAGGUGGAGGGGGAGGCUCCUGGGUGGCCCAGUUGGUUGAGCUUCUGACUCUUAAUUUCAGCUCAGGUCAUGGUCUUACGUUUCAUGGGAUCGAGCCCUGGGUUGAGCUCUGUGCUGACAGUGUGGAGCCCACUUGGGAUUUCCUCUCUCUCCCUCUUUCUCUGCCUCUUUCUCUCUGUCCCUCCUUCUCUCUCUCUCUGUCUCUCAAUAUAAAUAAAUAAACUUUUUUUUUUUUUAAAGAGCAAGUGGGGGGGCGCCUGGGUGGCGCAGUCGGUUAAGCGUCCGACUUCAGCCAGGUCAUGAUCUCGCGGUCCGUGAGUUUGAGCCCCGCGUCGGGCUCUGGGCUGAUGGCUCAGAGCCUGGAGCAUGUUUCCGAUUCUGUGUCUCCCUCUCUCUCUGUCCCUCCCCCGUUCAUGCUCUGUCUCUCUCUGUCCCAAAAAUAAAUAAAGGUUGAAAAAAAAAUUAAAAAAAAAAAACUUUAAAAAAAAUAAAAAAUAAAAUAAAAAAAAAAAAUAAAGAGCAAGUGGGGACAAAAAGGAGUGACGACUUGAAACCGUGAGACUCUUUCCCCAAAUCUUAGUGAAUUGAGGGGAGAACCAGGCUGGGCAAUAGACCACGAAGCAGUGGUAAGUCAGGAAGUGGCAGUCAGUCGGAGACCCUGAGAGAGGCAGAGCAGUGUGAGGCCCAGGGAUGGGUGUGGCACAGUCCGCUAAGCGUCCGACUCUUGAUAUUGGCACAGGUCAUGAGCUCACGGUUCGUGAGUUCAAGCCCCACAUCGGUCUCUGUGUUGAUGGCGUGGAGCCUGCUUGGGAUUCUGUCUCUCCUUCUCUCUGCCCCUCCCCUGCAUGUGUGCUCUUUUUCUCUCUCUCAAAAUAAACAAAUAAACUUAAAAAAAUAAAGAACUCAGAGGUACCUUCUGGUAGGGACCUGCUCUAGGAGCAGCAGUUCAGCAUAUCCCACUCUGAGGCUCCCCCAAACACUCUUUUUCUUAUGUUCACUCAAUACAUGGGUUUUUUUGACACCUACCAUGUCCUAGGCACUUUGCUAUGAAUUGUAAUGGUGAUUACAACACCAGCCUGUCCCAGUCACUGUAGACUACCAGGAGAGAUGGACACAUACGGAAGGCAAUGUCAUAUGUGCUUUGAUGGAAGUGACCUCUGGGGUUUGAGGCAGCGCAGAGAGGCGGCUUGGCCCAGGUUUGGGGGUGUCAUGAAGGCUUCCUAGCAAAAACGACUCCUACGUCCAUUGGGACCCCUCAGAGAAUGGCAUCCCCAUGGGAGGCCCCUGAGAGCAUCUGUCCCGGGAUAGGGCAGUGAACUCUCCUGGGGCUUAGAAGGAGCCUCAAAGUGACAUACUUGACUUCCAGGUAAAGGAGGAGACUUUAGAGAAUCAAACUGAGAGACGCCUGCUUUCCUCCUUCUGAUCAUUCUGACCCAGACAGUCAAAUUCCCGCACAACUUAACGCCUCAAGAAGUAAUGUCUAUGCAAAUUCUAAGCCAAGAACAGAAGCUGUGCUUGGUAGAACCCAUUCUGCCUAAUUCGUGGCUGACUUUUGUAUUCGCUCUUAGCAUUUCCUGACGCCAUCUUCUGCACGGAUCGCCUCCCCCACCCUCCUCCAACUCCUUUAAGGGUCUCAGAUCUUCCCAGCAGUCUGACUGAGUAUUUACAUAGUCUGGACACGGCGAGGCUACGUUGACCGGCAGUGAGGACUACAGACCAUGGGUGCUUGGCUCUCAGGGCUUUCUCUUGGUUGCUGGUCCCCAAAUUUGCCCCUCCCCCAUGGGUCCUCAGGAGCCCUUGGGGUGGGCGGGGGUGGGGGGGAAGGGAAAACUCUUCAUUCAGAGUCUUCACUUCCACUGGGCACUAGUAUAGACCUGCGAAUUUCCUAUGCGGCAGAGAAAAGAGCUGUGCUGAGUAUGUUAGCUAAUUCUUAUUUAAAGCCCAGAGAGUCAGUCUUCAUCCUUUAUUGUGACCAGUUAGCGGAAGCAAGAAGUCAACAAGCCCGUAGGGCCAGUGCAUGUAACAGGAAAGUGGAUAUGAGUGGCAACUUCUCUUUUUCCCCUUGCAACUUAGAAUUCCCAAGGCCUGGCUGCCUGUUUUCUUUCAUCAGAGGAAGCAACGACACGGGGGGACCUGUGUGGCUCGUUCUUGCUCUGACAAGCACACGCCUCCACCAGGGUGCUAAAUAAGGAAAGCCCCCUUGGACUUGCUUUCGGGACCUUCAAUGAGAAAUGAAGGCCAGUCCAGAAAUCUGUAUUGACUUACCUCCAGCACAGAGAGUCUGGGGUAAUAGGAAGCUGAUUGCUGUGCUGUUGUCUUAUCUUCUCAGCCUAGCUACAAAAAGAAUGCCGCUACCGUGGCUGCAUCCGGACAGAACCUUCUAGGUCAGCUAGCUGUGGGGCAGCAUCAGGCAACUUGGUCUUCGUAAAAGGACGAGAGGCUUUUUGCCGCAGAAGCUCCUGUGUCUCUAACAUCUUAGAGAAGCAAUAGACCAGCAUCAAGGGUAUAGGUCAGAGUUGAUAAAUAUAGCAUAGCUAAAUUUCUCUCUCCUUCUUUCUGUCCCUCUCUCACAAGAGACAUUAGAACUAAUCAAUCACAGGACUUUUUUUCUUCUGAAAGCAUGUACCCUGCCGAGAGCCAUAGUUGCUGAUACAGAUUCUUGGGCUGCAGAGAAAGUGAAGAGAGGAGUAUUGAUCUCCUUUCCCGAGAAGGUUAACUUUUAUAGUAACGGAGUCUAAAGGGAUCCUUUGCUGACACUUUAUAAUUAGGAGCCCAAGUAGAUUCAUUUUUUUUUUCUCUUGGGGAGAAAAGCCCUGAGCUACUGGUUCACUGGGGGCAUCCUGACAGACAAGAGCAGGGGUGGGCCCAGGAGACCCUUUCCUGUCCCAGGAAGAGCCUACAAGACUGCACUGAGCAUGUUGGAGAUAGGAAUGUAGAGCGGAUACAUGGUCUCCGAAGUCAAUCCCCACCUCCCCCGGCGGCUGGGAGCCAAAAACCGGGGCUGCAGCCCGGGAGAAGGACACAGACGAUCCGCUGCCCAGGCGUGAAGUUUCUGGUGAUUCCUGAUACCCAGGAAGGCUGGAGAAGAAAAUAACUCCCACCAGCCUCCUCUUACAUGGCUUCAUUCAUUCGUUUGUUUAUUCACUGAGUCACCGACGUUUCCUGUGGCUCUAUCUUUGGCCAGGCAGUAGGACUUAGCUGUGGGGGUAUUAGCACAGAUUCCUGCUUCUGAAUCUUCUAACCUUCCCCAGCCAUCUCCCCCUCAGUCCUCGGGCAUGCAUUGCUUUGGGUGUGGACUGACAGAAAGACAGACAACACCACUGAGAUUGAAAACCAAGGCCAGGCUUUCCGUCUGCCAGAGCCUGGGAUGUCAACAACCAAGGUCCUAGCAGGGACUUUUCGGGGUGACGGGUCAUUUCUACAUCUCGGUUGUGGGGGUCCUUACAUGGUCACAUGCUUUGUCAAAACACACAGAAGUGGACCCUAAAAAGAAGGCAUUUUGCUUUAUGUAAAUUGCUACCUUAAGAAUAAAGAAAGUAUUAAUAUGCAGUGGAAAAAAGAAAACAAAUGCGUACAAUAUGACACUCUUUAUGUAAAAAUCUGUAAAUGCAUGUAACACUAGAAUAUACUUUUUACAUUUUUAUUUUUUUUUUUCCAACGUUUUUAUUUAUUUUUGGGACAGAGAGAGACAGAGCAUGAACGGGGGAGGGGCAGAGAGAGAGGGAGAAUCAGAAACAGGCUCCAGNNNNNNNNNNNNNNNNNNNNNNNNNNNNNNNNNNNNNNNNNNNNNNNNNNNNNNNNNNNNNNNNNNNNNNNNNNNNNNNNNNNNNNNNNNNNNNNNNNNNNNNNNNNNNNNNNNNNNNNNNNNNNNNNNNNNNNNNNNNNNNNNNNNNNNNNNNNNNNNNNNNNNNNNNNNNNNNNNNNNNNNNNNNNNNNNNNNNNNNNNNNNNNNNNNNNNNNNNNNNNNNNNNNNNNNNNNNNGGGGGGGGGGGGGGGGGGGGGGGGGGGGGGGGAGGGGGAGGGAGAGAAUCCUAAGCAGACUCCACCCUCAGCACGGAGCCCACCUGGGAUUUGAUCCCGCGACUGACGGUGAGAUGAUAACCUGAGCUGAAAUCAAGAGUCGGACGCUCAGCCAACGGAGCCACCCAGGCGCCCCUAGAAUAUACGUUUUAAGUGCACAAACAAGUUAUAACAAAACAGAAAUCUCUGAGGGACUGAGGAGCACUAGCUCUGGCAUUGUCAUCACUUGCAGAAGCUGGGGAUAGCGGAGGUAUUGGGCUCUAUCUAUAGCGAUUGAUUUAUUUUGUUUUUAAAAAAGAGGAGGAUCGGAAGCAAAUAUGACAAAAUGCUAAGGUCGGUUUGAUCUUGGUAGUGGGUACAGAGGUCUCAUAUUAUUUUCUGAUCUUUCUGUAGGUUAAAACGCUUUAUAAAAAAACUGGAGAUAUUUCAGCCACACACACACACACACACACACACACACACACACACACACGCGGCCCUAAAUGUCUCCGGUUCUAAACAAGAGAUGUGGAAGCUAGAGGCAAAUAAAUAACAGUGAAAAUGAAAGCAAGAGAGUUCGUGAGUGGGGUAAAUCCUGUGUUACCAGGCAGUGGUUGUAGGAAGAGACGUGGAGCAAGGGGUAUCUGAGCCUCCUUUCCAGGGAAGAAGCCCAGAAGUGGCAAACCUUAUAGUCCCCAGGGUCCUUGGAGGACCCGCGAACAGCUGGCAGAAUUUCCCACAUCCUGCAGCAUACAGAGACAACACAGUACUUCCCACAACUCAACAGGGGCGUGGAAGGAGCUGAGACAAACAAGAUCUGAGAGGAAGAGGGUCCCCAGAAGCGGCUGUGUAUGCUACCCUCGGAACAGAUGCCAAAAAUAAAUAUUUGGGUGAGUUGUAGAAAAAUAAAGAAUUUUUUUGUGACUGGCCCCUUUAAGCUUGUAUCCUUAGAACUUGGCUACAUUUAGGAUGGGUCAGCCGAGCCCCUGCUCUCAGGGGCCCACAGUCUGUCUGGGAGACAGAGAAGCAAGGAAACCAUAUCUACUGGGGAUAUGAUGCCUUCGGGGGAAAGGGGUAAUGAGUGACACGGGAGCUCCUGGCCCCGAAAACCGUUUUUGUGCGACUCCGCCGUCCCUCUCUCCAGUCCCACCUUUGGGAUAUAUAUGAGUUAUUAUUGCUAGGCAACAAAUCGCCUCGAAACUAAAUGGCUUCAGAUAAUCAACACUUAUCAUGUCACAAAGCUGGUGUGGGCUAGGAAUUUGGGAAUGGCUUGGCCAGGUGGUUUUGGCUCGGGGUCUCUCAGAAGGAUGCAGUCAGGACAUGAUCAGGGCUGCAGUCACUUGGAGGUUUGACUGGGGUGGGAGGGUCCACCGCCACCACAGCUCACUCAGAUGCUCCUUGUUGCCAGGCCUUAGUUCCUUACCACGUGAUCCUCCCCACGGGGUGCUUGAGCAUCCUCACAGCAUGGCGGCCGGCUUCCCCCAGAGUAAGCGAUCCCAGAGAAAGAGCAAGGAAGACUACAUCCUGAUCCAAAGAAGCUCAGCCCACACUCUAGGGGAGAGAACUAAGCUCCACCUCCAGAAGUGGGGGUGGGGGGAGUAUCAAAUUAUUUAUGGACUUAGUUUAAAACCACCAAAGGGCAGGAAGGAAGUCAGAUUUCCUGAAUUGCCCCACUGUCCCGAUCCCCAAAACGUGAUGGAUUAUCGUGGGUCCAGUGGUAAUAACAUGAGGAAGCCCACGUGACAAGCCUGGAAUUGGGACUCAGACACAGUUGGGAAAGGUUAGGGGUCUAAAUACAAGAGCAUAGUCAAAACGAUCACUGCUGGGAUAGGGCUCUCAGGAAGCCAGCACGGGGUGGGGGGCGGGGAGUAGAAGUCAGGCGUGAGCGCCGACAGCCAAGGUCUGAGCUGUGCUUUUACGCAGGAUGAUAGGAUCAAGGAGGGAUGGGGCAGGGCCCGAGAGGGACCCAGGAGGGGGCCCCAGGCCCCAGGCCCAGGGCCGGACUGCCCAGUGGGCCCCCUAAACAUGAGCUUUGAGACCCUCAGCGAACAAGAUUCUUCAGCGAACAAGAAUGUUGCAAUCUAAAUAUCCCGAGUAAGUUCGUUAUAAUUUCAACACUUGGGUAAGUUUGUGAGUCAGUAUUGUUGUAAGCUUGUGUUUUAUGAGCCAGUAUUGUUUUUAUUUUAAAUUUUAUUCUGAAUUACAUAAUGGGGAUGGGAGGGGCAUCGAGAAUCUCUGAAGCAGAAUUUGCCGAUUGGCGUAUCGUAGCGCACCGAUAAACUGUUCGUGGGGAGGGCCUCCUCCAGAGCCGCGAAGCUAGUGGCCAGUACAGAGAACCUGCCAUAAGGGGCAGCGGUGGGGGCUGACCUCCAGCCUGUGUCCUGUCCACCACGCCUGGCAUCCUGGUGCAGGGACGAGCCAGCCUGCAGGGAAGGACACAUUUUUGUUAUUGCUAGUUUCCGCUAGCUGCUGGCUCGGCCAGUAGGUUAUAGACCUGUUGAAAUACGGAUGCCUUUGGCCCUUGGGGAAGGAGGCCAGGCAGGCUAAGAGAGCACCCUGGAGCACCCGGGCCAGAUCCCUUCUACCAGGAGCAGCCUGCCCAGUGUCCAAAUGGGAAGGAAGGAAGGAAGGAAGGAAGGAAGGGGGAGAGAAGAAGGAAGGUAGGAAGGGAGGGAGGGAAGAAGGAAGGAAGGAAGGANNNNNNNNNNNNNNNNNNNNNNNNNNNNNNNNNNNNNNNNNNNNNNNNNNNNNNNNNNNNNNNNNNNNNNNNNNNNNNNNNNNNNNNNNNNNNNNNNNNNNNNNNNNNNNNNNNNNNNNNNNNNNNNNNNNNNNNNNNNNNNNNNNNNNNNNNNNNNNNNNNNNNNNNNNNNNNNNNNNNNNNNNNNNNNNNNNNNNNNNNNNNNNNNNNNNNNNNNNNNNNNNNNNNNNNNNNNNNNNNNNNNNNNNNNNNNNNNNNNNNNNNNNNNNNNNNNNNNNNNNNNNNNNNNNNNNNNNNNNNNNNNNNNNNNNNNNNNNNNNNNNNNNNNNNNNNNNNNNNNNNNNNNNNNNNNNNNNNNNNNNNNNNNNNNNNNNNNNNNNNNNNNNNNNNNNNNNNNNNNNNNNNNNNNNNNNNNNNNNNNNNNNNNNNNNNNNNNNNNNNNNNNNNNNNNNNNNNNNNNNNNNNNNNNNNNNNNNNNNNNNNNNNNNNNNNNNNNNNNNNNNNNNNNNNNNNNNNNNNNNNNNNNNNNNNNNNNNNNNNNNNNNNNNNNNNNNNNNNNNNNNNNAGGAAGCAAGGAAGGAAGGAAGGAAGGAAGGAAGGAAGGAAGGAAGAGGGAGAGAAGAAGGAAGGUAGGAAGGGAGGGAGGGAAGAAGGAAGGAAGGAAGGAAAGAAGGAAGGGAGGGAGGGAGGAAGGAAGGCCACCUGAAUCCAGUCCUAACUAGGCUACUAACCACUCAAGUAUCGGCGCAGUCCCUUGGGCACGGCUGUGCAUGCAGGUGAAGGUUUCCUUACGGUCUCUUGCUAAAUAAUCGAUCCCCAAGUAUGGGUAGCACAGGAGGCCAGCGCGAAUCAAGGACGCAUGGAAGCAGAGACCGAGAGAAGCAAAGACUCGGGUAGCUACCACCCAGGGUUCGGCCCCCGUGGCCGGCUGGGGAGCAGCGUGCCGAGAAGGCGGAACGGGCCCAUUCUCCCAGAGCUUUGGAAGCCCACCGCUGGUGGCAGAAUGUCAGCAGCGCUCAGGCCAUUCUGCUCCACUCCCUGAUCCUUGUGGGGCCGUGCCUGAACCCCCCUCUGAAGUGCCCUUCCCUUUAGAGAGCUCCAUUCCGCCAGAGGGGCUCUGAGUUGGUCCAGAGCAGUGAAGGGAUCUGCGGCCAGACCCUCUAGCAUAAUAAAGCCUGAAUCUGAUAGGAAGAGGUCGUUUGGGACAGCUUUGUUUGUCCGCGGGAUUUGGAGUCAGGGGCCUGCGGGCUGGGGUGUGCUGAAGGAAGUGACAUAUGCAAAUGAGUCACAUGCCUGCCCUGCGGAGACUGACAGCUUUAUCACGAAGUACCCCAGUCUCCCCGGGCCUGUGUAUAAAGAGGCCUGGAGCCUUCUCUUGUCUUUUGGCAACGAUCCAGCUUACUCAGGCAUGACUUCGCACAGAAAUCGGGUUUGGCUUUAAAAACGCUCCUUGUGAUGGUAGCUCUGCAGCCAAGACAGGCUCUGUGCUGAAUUAUUGAGCGGGGCGCCUGCUUGCCUGCCUCGGCCCAGAGCCUUUCUUCUCUGUAGCUCCGUGGCCUGACAAGUCAGUUUCAAUACGCAGCGACGCAAGGCCCUGUGCUCGCUCGGCCUGAUGCUGGGCCAGAUUCCAGACGUGCUUGUACAGCCGCCAACACACCCCGGGCACCAGGCUUUACUCCAGGGUCACGGGCCCUACAGAUUCAGACAAAUGGAUAUCUCGAUGGUCUCCAAGCUGUCGUCCUGUAGGAAUCCUGUAUCAACAUAUCUAACACCAAUAUCACGAAUCAACGCCCCAACCAGCUUCUUCACCUGUUUUCUCUAUUUUGAUGAAUGGUGCCACCAUCCACCCAGGUGCCUGAGCCCAGGUCUCGGCUUCACUCUUCAUUCCUGUCGCCUCCCGUCUCUGCAACAUGGCAUUGGUCUCCGAGUUUGUCUAUGCAGCCUCUCAGAUAUUUCUCAGUGGGGCGCCUGGGUGGCUCCGUCGGUUGAGCGUCCGACUUCGGCUCAGGUCGUGAUCUCACGGUCCGCGGGUUCGAGCCCCGCAUCCGGCUCUGCGCUGACAGUUUAGGGCCUGAGGCCUGCUUUGGAUCCUGUGUCUCCCCCUCUCUCUGCCCCUCCCCCCGCUCGUGCUCUGUCUCUCUCACUCUCAAAAACAAAUAAACAUAACAUUUUUUUUUAAAUUAAAAAUAAAAAACAAAAUUCUCAGAUGUAUUCAAUCGUCCCCAUUCUCACCACUCCUGACUUGUGGCUGCUAUCUCUCCUCUGGGCUCCUGACCUACUCAAGCUCCCUUUCUCCCAUCCUUCGGCAACACCAUCUAAUCCUAUCAUUGUCCAACCUUCGUUGGUUCUUAUUCAUUGCAGGAUAAAGUCUAAAGCAUGGUCGUCAGAGAGAGCUCACUUUGAAUGUGUUCUGCCACUUGCAACAUAUGACAUUGGUCAAGUCAGCCUGUGAAAUGAGAGUAAUAGCAAUGGUGAGGAUUGAGGUAAUGUGACAUAGUUCAGGAUCCAGUGUCUAGAAAGUACCAGAAAUGCUAACCUUUGUUGCUAUUCACAUCCUGGCUUCCCCUGCCCUGUCCCUCUUUAUCUCCUGACCAGAGGGUCAUAUCCUACCCAACCACACACAUUCCCUGAGCGUGCCCUGCCAUCUCAUGUGUUCGCACUUUGGGUAUACCGUUCUCCUGCCUGGAAUGACCUCUAUCUCCUUAUCUAGCCAACGACUUGCUACUCAUUCUUAAAGGCCCAUCUCAAAUAUUACCUUCCUCGAGACGGUCCUGAUGCUCCCAUCUCAGCAUUUUCUUAACUUUUGUGACUCUCUUACAACCUGUUACCUUGAAAUAUUCUCAUGCGCGCCUGUCUUAGCAUGCAGUGAGCGCUCUAGGAACAGAGACAAUUAGCCAUUCAAACGUUCAUUCGCUAACAGGCGUGUGGUAUUUCUCACGGGCCAGGCAUAGUGCUGGGUGCUGCAGACACAAAAUGGCAUUAAACACUAUCUCUAUUAAUCAGGGCGCUUAAUUGCCAACAAUAACAUCCACUAUUUUAUUGUGGAAAGACUUUUAUUCCAGAGAAUUGUGCCGCUCCCAGAAUCGUGGCAAGGGCCAGGGCCAGGCUUGGUGUCUAUACAAGUGCCAGCAAUGAAGCUGGGAACUGCAGACUAAGAAAAAGCACCAACUCCAUUAAGGCAAUGUUCUAGUCGGAAACACCAUAAUUAUAGCCAUCCUGUGCCGGGGGCCGGAUUUUAGAAACUCACCUGUACCUGCCCCCAAAGGAUCAGAUAUCACCACCAAGGUUUCCAGAAGGUCUCUUCAGUUUUUGUUCUAUUUAAAGUCUCAUACGGGGGCAUCUGGGUGGCUCAGUCGGUUAAGCAUCCAACUUCGGCUCAAGUGAUGACCUCUCGGUCUGUGGGUUCGAGCCCCGCGCCGGGCUCUGUGCGGACAGCUCAGAGCCUGGAGCCUGCUUCGGAUCCCGUGCCUCCGUCUUUCUCUGCCCCUCCCCCACGCUCGCAGUCUGUCUGUCGCUCUCUCUCAAAAAUGAACAAACGUUUAAAAAAAAUAAAGUCUCAUACAGGUAUACCUGCUUGAUGGAACUUACAUUACCUUUCUAUAUCCCAGCUGCCAGGCGGUCUCGUAAAUGCAAUUUUUAGCUUUCUAGCUCCAACAGGAAAAUGCGCUACGAAGGGUUUGCAAUGAGCUGGAGUGAGCCAAACUACAAUAUCCUGGCUCUUAAAGCGCUCUGGCUUGGGGGGAGAGUCAGGCAAGCCGACAGAUGGUACAAUGUUAUCACUGUAGCAGGGGGCUGGGCACCAGAACAGCAGUCCCCAAGCCAGGUGAGGGGUUCCGUGUGCAAGAUAAAGCUGUGUAUGCCAAGUUUUAAAAGCUUGCAUUUUACGCUGAAGGCAUGGGGUAGUCACUGAGUGAUGUGGUCCUACUUUAGUCCGGGAAUGAUGAACCUGGAUUGGAGAGGAGCAAGUCUAGAGUGAAAAGGCCAGUUAGGAGAGCACUGCAGGCAUCUGGGUAAAGUGAUGAUGAUCUGAGCCAAAGAGGCAGCAAUAGGGCUAGAGAAGAAGGACAGGGAUGGAAAAUAGUUUAGCCCCAGUGACAGACUGACCACGAAGGAAGGCCUUGGAAGUCAGUGGCCAAAUCGCGGUUCGGGUGGUUGGGUAGAUUAUGGUACCUCUGCUUUUCUUCUGGCCCUUCCUACUUAUCUCGUUUUAGGGAAACUCUCCUUUCAGGAAACCAUGGGGUCGUGAGGACCUGACCUCCUCACCCCUUACAAGUAGACAUUUAGCCAGGCUGUCCGAUCAGAGCCCCCCACCCUCAACCACAGAGAUGGGUGCAGGUGUGGUCACGUGACCCAACCUGUGCCAGUCAAUUAGGAAUGUACCCAGGCUUGGCCGGACCCAUCACAGAGAAGCUGGUGUGUUUCCAUGAGGUUGACGAGUUGAUGCAUGAAACUCUAGAGUGUCCAGGAGCCGUUUUCCCAUCAGGUAUCUCCAAUCGAAUACCAAGGUGCAGGAUGUUACCGGGAGGUUGACUGGCUAAGGAAGAGGGGACGAGAGUCACCCAGAGUGAUGUAAUUUGCAUCUCCUGCACCAACAGCAACACCUACAUGUAGUGAGUGCUCAGUUACGUUUAAUGAGUGAGGAAAUGAAUGAAGCCUUUAAAAUGUGUAUUUAUAAAUACAGAAGGGUACUUCUGUCAUGUCAUUUAAAAAGUCAAACCUUGAGGGGCGCCUGGGUGGCGCAGUCGGUUAAGCGUCCGACUUCAGCCAGGUCACGAUCUUGCAGUACGGGAGUUUGAGCCCCGCGUCGGGCUCUGGGCUGAUGGCUCAGAGCCUGGAGCCUGUUUCCGAUUCUGUGUCUCCCUCUCUCUCUGCCCCUCCCCUGUUCAUGCUCUGUCUCUCUCUGUCCCCCAAAAAAUAAAUAAAACGUUGAAAAAAAAAAUUUAAAAAAAAAAAAAGUCAAACCUUGAGGGGCGCCUGGGUGGCUCAGUUGAUUAAGCAUCUGACUUUGGCUCAGGUCACCGUUGGUGCGUUCAAGCCCUGCAUCAGGCCCUGUGCUGACAGAAAGGAACCUGCUUUGGAUACCCAUCCCCCUCUCUCUGCCCCUCACCCACAUAUUCUCUCUCUUCUUCAAAAAUAAAUAAACAUUUAUUAAAAAAAAAAAAAAGUUGAGCGCCUGGGUGGCUCAGUCUGUUGGGCAUCCGACUUCAGCUCAGGUGAUGAUCUCACAGUUUGUGAGUUUGAGUCCCGCGUCGGGCUCUGUGCUGACAGCUCAGAGCCUGGAGCCCGCUUCCGAUUCUGUGUCUCCCUCCCUCUCUGCCCCUCCCCUACUCACACUCUGUCUCUCUCUCUCUCUCUUUCUCUCUCUCUCUCAAAAAUAAAUAAACAUUAAACAAAUUUAAAAAAUAAAAAAAUAAAAAGUCAAACCUUGAGAUUAAAAAAAAAUCUAUCAAAUGGAUUUAUUGGACAUGCAGAAAUUUAAAAACAGGUAGAUUCCUUGUUUUCUUGGGGGCAGUAGGCGAGGAUUACACUGGGCAUAUUGUUUUGUAUUGCACGUGAUUUCCCUCGAAUGGUUGAAGAUAUAGAUGAAUAAUAUUAAACAUAUUGCAUUACUAAAUACUGUAUUCAACUAGAUCCCCAAUUCUUUUCCUUUAAAUGGUUGAUGCCGUAAAAAAUAAUCCGUGUAACAGCAGGACUCACUUUCAAAGUCUUGGAAACCUGUUUUCUAGGGGCUGGUGCACCCAGACAGCGGGUCUUAUUGAGUUGCAAAAACAACAAAGGCGAUAUAAGUUAAAUUGCUAUUUUAAUCAAGUAGGGAUCGAACAUACGAUAAGAUAUGUAAUACAUUUUGCUUCACAUCGUGUACCGUGAUUCAUCCACAACUUUUGGUUUGCAUGUGUGCUACUGAGCCCAAUUAAACAUCUAGCCACGGUCCUUCCUCGUCACUCCUUCCUUUGGCUAACAAAGAUACGAGAAAUCGGGAGAACUUGCAGACCUGGCCAUGGGUAAUUCAUUUUCUUUCCAUUUCUCCACUUAUACCAGGAACCAACACUUGUUUUGAGCUUUAAUUAAACAAAUUGCCCGGAAGGUAUUAGCAACACGUUUCUCUCAGGCUGGGAAUCUGCGGGCGCGGCUGGUAGUUGGGAGUCUGUCCUGGGCUGUUGGGCAAUCGAGGGAGAGGAACCCUGAAGAGAGAGGAGAAGAAGGAAAGUGGCACAGCGCUUGCACGUGUCUCCUCCCUAAGUUGUGGCAAUAAACAAGCCAGGCAGGAAGGCACCCCCCCCCCCCCCCCCCAUCUCUCUGUGUCCUUUCCUUUGCCUCCGAACAGUCUCUGGCUGUGUUCUUACCAGGGUCACAUCUCCCUCGUCCCCUGAGCCUGACGGAGGGAGUGUUUGCAGAAAGGAAGCCCGAGAACUUGGGAGUAUGGGAGCACGUCUUCUAUCAAAGGAUGAAAAAAAUAGUCACACACAUGCGAGCAGGCAAUUUGCAAAUCCCCUGGGAAAUUCUGCCCAGGGUUAUUCAGCUACCCCCCUAUCGCCUUUGUCUGCAAGGCAGAGUUACCACAGGGGUAAUUCGCGGCAUCAGGGGCUUGGGCAGAGAGGGGCACCCCGUGGCAGCAGGUAUUCUGCUAACCAGAUGUCACCGCUCUCUACUCCCCCAUCUCCUUUCUGGCCCUGUCUGCUUUCCUCCUCUCAGACACCCUCUUGGUCACACAGUCCUCUGGCUAGCUCAUAUACCCUUUCCCCCUUGUUCGGGAGAAAACGCUGUAUUAUUUUAUAGUGACCUUUCCAAGAGCAGACACAAAGGAGGUAAGAACGGGUGUAAGAAGGGACUGGCAUACCAGCCAGAACAGGUGCUGAGUUAACAUUUGUUGAAUGGCUGAUACACAGACAAGCAUCUAGAUAACUCCUAGAACCAAAGAAGCUUUGAAAGUAAUACAGAAAAAAAACCAGAUCGUUCUUUCCCCACUCUUCCAUCCGACGCUACCCUGCCACGGGCUUCUCUGGACUUCCCCCUCCACACAGACAUUGUGGACCUCAACAUGCUGCCCUAACCUAGCUAAGCCCCCAGAUGAUUAAAUAAACCACGUAUCUGGAGGAGUGGAGGGGCCAGUUUAGUAGGUGAGAACCCCAGACCAUGUUGAGGUCUGGAGAGCCCCAUUAUAUCUAACAGCACAUAAACCACAGCUUAUAAGGCUAAAAACGUCCCCACUUGGUCUGAUCCUUUUUGGUCAACUCAGACUAGAGGUAGCCGUUAGUACUAAAAUGAAUAACAAUGCUAUUAUCUUUGAGCGGACCUAUCAUUUGUCAAGCACGUCCUCAAAUUCUUUUAUUCAAUUAUACAUAACUUUAGUUCUGUCACCCCACCUCGCAGCUGGGCACACUGAGGUUCAGGACGAUUAGAGGACUCAUCUAGAUGACACAUGGAACACCGGCCGUGCCACGAUUUGAACCCGGAUCUGUCUCCUUCCCUACCGGGCACUGUGAUAAGCCACAUGAAGAAGAGAGCACGUUCAUGUGCAUUGCCUGUCAACAAAGGGUACCAGGUAUUCAACUACUGCAUUUUAAAUUUUUUUUUCAACGUUUUUUAUUUAUUUUUGGGACAGAGAGAGACAGAGCAUGAACGGGGGAGGGGCAGAGAGAGAGGGAGACACAGAAUCGGAAGCAGGCUCCAGGCUCCGAGCCAUCAGCCCAGAGCCUGACGCGGGGCUCGAACUCACGGACCGCGAGAUCGUGACCUGGCUGAAGUCGGACGCUUAACCGACUGCGCCACCCAGGCGCCCCUCAACUACUGCAUUUUAGAAGUCAAAGCUGACUUUCCUACAGGCCGCCUUUCUUCUUAGGAGAGUCCCAUUUUGCCUGUGAUGGAGACAGAUGUCCCCAUAGAAAACCCUGGUGACCCAUUAAAAUGUUAUGAAAACUGCCUCUGGCCAGACCGGUAGGAGCCAAGACGAGAACACAAAGCACAUCCUCUGGUGAUUUAAGGAAGCGUUGGCCUCACCACCUAGUGGGGCUUGUACAGGUGCAAAUGCUAUUAGGCAAAGCCACAGAAAUAACAGAGUGAAUUAAGCUUUAAUCUCUGAACCAUUGUAAGGAUAAUGAGUGCACUUUAUAAUAAUUGCCAGAAGUGAGAGCAGGGAAGAAAACAUUGGAAAAGGCCGCAGCUUCAGUUUCUUCCUUUGCAAACCGGGAGUGUAGUACCAGCCAAGCUCCUGAGCCCACAGAAGGCUAGAAUAAAAAUGCUCCGCGAUUAACGAAGAGGAAACAGAUUUAGAAAGAGGCCCGCUUUACCAAUGGGUCUGCCAGCCUCCAGCUCCUAGCUGACCGUUGACCAUGAUGACCACAAGCCUGCCCUGAGGCAGGCUCUCCUGUGCAUUUUCCCCGUAGGCUGGAAAUCCAGCUCGCUUAUAUAACAGGCUUCGAGGCAGCACUCGUCUUUAAGCAGGAGGGACCCCGGAUUACUCCCCCAUUUCUAUGGCUUCCGGGGCAGGCAUUCCCAGCUUCCUGGGAAUUUGGUGAACCACCCGAAUGUGUCUGCCAAGCCUCUCUCUUCUGGGUGUAUUUGAUUCAUUGUUGUCCAGAACCCCCAGUGGGUAACAUUCGCCCGUCACGUUGGGUUGUUGUGCCCGGGGAAGCAGAGCGCCAAUGGGGGUAACUGGGUACGGCUUCUGUCUUUCUCUUGUUUCUGUCCUCACUGUUGCUUUUUCUCAGAGGAAGAGACAUUUACCUGUAGAACCACAAGAAAGCCCGCAGAGGGUUCUCGGGAAGACAUAACUGUUCCAGCCGCCGUCAACAUUUGUGUACAAAUACCUGUUUGGGUAUCUGUUUUCAAUUCUUUGGGGUAUAGAUCCAGGAGUGGAAAUUGCAGAGUCUUAUGGUUGAUUUCCACGUAUGCGUUAAUGUCCAGAAUAAGGAAAAGCAUAGAGAUAGCAAGCAGAUUGAUGGUUUCCGAGGGCUGGGAGGGACAGGGCAGUAGGGAAUGACUGUUAAUGGCUACGGGGUUCCUUUUGAGGGGACGCACAUGUUUGGGAACUUCAUAGAGGUGAGAGUGGCACAACACUGUGAAUGUACUAAAUGCCCUUCAACCGUACAUUUUUAAGAUGGCUAUAAAUUUGUUAUGCGAAUUUCACCUCAAGAAUUAUUUAUUUAUUUAUUUUUUAAUGUUUCUUUAUUUUUGAGAGAGAGAGAGAGAGAGAGAGAGACUGCAAGCAGGGGAGGGGCAGAGAGAGAGGGAAGCACAGAAUCUGAAGCGGGCUCCAGGCUCCGAACUGUCAGCACAGAGCCUGACACUGGUCUCAAACUCAGAGACCAGUUAAGCGUCCGACUUCGGCUCCGGUCAUGAUCUCGCGGUUCGUGAGUUCGAGCCCCAUAUAGGGCUCUGUGCUGACAGCUCAGAGCCUGGAACCCGCUUCAGAUUCUGUGUCUCCCUCUCUCUCUGCUCCUCUCCUGCUCUCACUCUGUGUGUCUGUCUCUCUCUCAAAAAUAAAAAUAAACAUAAAAAAUAAUUAAAAAUAAAAAGCACCUCCAAUACCCGAGACCUGCCUUCCCAGGGAAGUACAAUAGGAGAGAAACACAACUGAGAGCUUAAGAGCCUCAGACACCUUGAUGCAGUUGUGGUGCAGUCGUAUUUUAUGGGGGAAAGGAGUGGUCUGGUAGCUUCAGAUUCAUGAAAGACAAAAAUCUUCAUAUUGUCAUUAUUACCAUAGGCGUUUCUUAAGAUACGGUAAGCUCUUUCCAUUGCUUUCGUAAGUAGUAUUCAUAGUCCUAGCAACAACAUUCCAGACGGUUCUUCUUAUGAACCUCAAGGCUGAGAACCACUGGUCUAGACUGAAAGAAGGGAAAAAGGCAAGUGUAUGAUGCACAUCUUUGGUCCUUCCAAAUAUGGCGUCUUGAAGAUAAAGAGGGGGAGGGAUCAGGCAUGGCAACUCUCGUUAAUAACACCGUAUUGCAUAUUGAAAGCUGCUAAGAGGGGCGCCUGGGUGGCGCAGUCGGUUAAGCGUCCGACUUCAGCCAGGUCACGAUCUCGCGGUCUGUGAGUUCGAGCCCCGCGUCAGGCUCUGGGCUGACUGCUCAGAGCCUGGAGCCUGUUUCCGAUUCUGUGUCUCCCUCUCUCUCUGCCCCUCCCCCGUUCAUGCUCUGUCUCUCUCUGUCCCAAAAAUAAAUAAACGUUGAAAAAAAAAAAAAAGAAAGCUGCUAAGAGCAAAUCUCCGAAGUUCUCGUCUCGUCUCGUCUCGUCACAAGAAAAAAAAAUUCUGUAACUCUGUGCAGUGAUGCAAUUUAACUAGAUUUACUAUGGUGAUCAUUUCACAACAUAUACAAAUACUGAAUCAUUAUGUCGUACACCUGAAACUAAUAUGUUAUAUGUCAAUUAUAUCUCAAUAAGGAAAUGAGCAAAACAUUCCAAAAAUACACAGCAGAACACAUCAACAAAUGGGAAAACAUACCAUCUUUUCUGACAAGAUGACACAAUGUCAUUUUCCUCUCUUGCAUCGAGAUCCGCUGAUCUUCUUAAUUCGAUUUUUAAAUUCAGCAUAAUGUCAAUAAACCUGUGCAUAAUUAAAAAAAAGGGUAGGAAAUUUUGAAAAUGUUCCUACUCGUUUGUAGGGUUUAGUUCCAUUCUGUGUACAUAUUAAAACUCUAGAGUAUUAAUACAUGUUAAUAGAUUUUUUGUUAUGAUGUCAUCUCAUUUGGGGGAGAGUUGAGACAGGUUGGGCUCUAUUAAAGGAUAAUUAUUUUUAAUUAAAGAGGUAAAAUCAUGAUUCUCAUAUAGAUAUAAAAUGAUCGCAUGUCAAGGAUUUUAUUAAACUCAUUAAUUGACAAGGGAGAACUUGAUUAGCUGCCACCCAGGCCAUAGUCUCUAUUCUUUCACAUGGGUGCUGUCCUUCUCCACUCAGCUCAGCCUGGCAGACCCCUCCAGACCCCAGCUGGGCCGGGACCGUUGUUCCUUUUCUGACAUUUCUUAGCCUCAGAUGCUUCCUCUCCAUGAACCCUACUGAGCUGGUGGAUGGGAUGGCCCCUGAAUGGGGUGAAAUUACAAUCAUCAGUUUGAAACAAAGAGAACGAUACUACAGACCCAAUAGGACCUAUCGGACAGACCCAAUAGGACCUAUCGGUCUCCAUGCUAAAAGGCAGCUUUUCUCUGAGCUGGAAACUGCGAGGUCUGGAGGGAGAUCAAAGGGAGAGAGAAGGAGCAUGGGGCUGAGCACCCCCACCCUUGAGAAGGCUGCUAUCCAGGCUGGGGAAGUGGAGGCCACUCUGUAUUAGUCAGGAAUCUCCAGAGAAACAGAAUCAAUAGAACAUGCACAUAUAUAGAAAGAGAGAUUUAUUUUAAGAAAUUAGCUCAUAUGAUUACGGAUGCUUGGCAAGUCCAGAAUCUGCAGGAUGGGCCAGCAGGCUGGAGACAUAGGGGUGAGUCAAUGUUGUGGUUCAAGUCCAAAGGCCAUCUGCUGCAGAAUUUAUUCUUGCUCAGGGGAGGCCAGCCUUUUGUUCCAUUCAGGCCUCCAUCUGAUUGCAUGAGGCCUACCCACAUAUGAGGAGCAAUCUGCUUUAUUCAAAAAUCCACUAAUGUAAAUAUAAAGUUCAUCUAAAAACAGCCCCAUAGACACAUCUACAGUGAUGUUAGACUAAAUAUCUGGUCACCUUAGCAGAAGUUGACACGAGCUGACACACAAAGACCAUUACACAUUCCCAGGACCGUAGCCUGGGUCUUUGGAGCCCAUGGGUCAGUGGUCCAGGUGCUGAAGACUGCUGAAGAACAAGGCUGGUGCUGAGAGAAGGGGAAGGGAAAUAUGGCUUCAGAGUGGCCAAACAGAAGGUUAGGAAAAACCCAGCCCAACCUUAUUACUCCCCUGUCCAGCCCUCUACCUCCUGCCCCCUGUCCCCUAGAGAAGAUUUGCUACCUGUCCAACCUCCAGGCUUAUCAAGGCAUUUCUACUGAGCUCGUAAAAUGAGCCACGAUAGCUCGUCAUGGCCUCGUUCAGCUGGACCAUUCUUGUGAAGGCCCAACAAGCAGCCUGGAAAAUCUGAACAUUCUUCACUUAAUUCCUGGGGUGCCCUGUGAUGGCUUCACAGAUUUACGGUCAACCGUGGUUGCAGGGGAAGAGUGCUGGGACCUGGCAGUAACCUGCUGUGUGACACCGUAGAGGAAGAUUAACCACCCUGGAACCAAUGGUUUCUCUUUAUCUCUGUUGAGGCUUUGGGCCCUUGACAGUGUGUUGAAUAAUGCCCCCCUGCCCUGCCCCCCAAAGGUAUGCUCAUGCCCUAAUCCCUAGAACCUUUGAAUAUGACCUUAUGUGGAAAAGGGGCCUUUUUGGUUAUAAUUAACUUUAGGAUCUUGGGAUAAGAUCAUCUUGAUUGUGUAGGCGGGCCUAGUUCCAAUAACAGUUUUCCUUGUGAGAGAAGGGCAGAGGGGCACUGGAGUUCGAGAAAGAGGCCACACGAAGACGAAGGCAGAGACUGGUAUUGGGGGUCACGGGCCAGGGUGUGCCUGGAACCACUGGAAGCCGGAAGAGGACAAGAAGGUUACUCCCCCAGGGCCUUCAGACACCUAUGUCAAUGUUCCGGCCUCUAGAACUGGGAGAGAAUUAAUUGCUGCCGUUUUAAACUGCCACGUUUGUGGUGACUUGUGAUAGAUUAGCCCCAGGAAACUAAUAUACCCUCUUGGUGGCCCUUAGAAGUUGUCUGAGGCACUGUGGAUCCAGAUAACAAACACUGGCAGGCUGCCUGAGAUGAGACAGACGAAGUGUCCUGGCCACAGAGAAGCUGUGAUAACAUGCACAUGUGUGUGAAUUCAUCCACCCCCCCCCCCCCUCACGGUCUCAAGAUCUCUUUAUCGAGAACCAACCACAUGGUAGGCGUCAUGUUGGGUACUGAUGAUCAGGGGAUAAUCAAAACAUCUUGGGAGGGGCAGCUUCACAGCUGAUUGCCACCCGCGUCCCUUGGUCGGACCAGUUCUUUUUUAGAAACUAUUUUUUUUUUUAACGUUUACUUAUUUUUGAGAGAGAGAGAGACAGACAGCGCAAGUGGCGGGGGGGGGGGGGGGGGGGGGGGGGGGGGGGGGGGGGUGGGGUGGGCAGAGAUGGAGGGAGACACAGAAUCUGAAGCAGACUCCAGGUUCCAAGCCGUCAGCACAGAGCCCAACAUGGGGCUCGAACUCCCGAAUCGCGAGGUCAUGACCUGAGAUGAAGUCGGACGCUUAACCGACUGAGCCACCCAGGCGCCCCCAACAAUAAAGCAUUUUUUAAUUAAGGUAUCUACAUUGUUUUUAGACGUCAUGCUGUUGCACACUUACUAAACCACAGUGCAGUGUAGACGUAACUUUUAUAUGCACUGGGAAACCAAAAAAUUCAUCUGACCCCCUUUAUUGCAGCGCUCGCUUUAUUGCAGUGGUCUGGAGCCAAACCCACAAUAUCUCCGAGAUAACGCUUGUAUUUGCACAGGCCUCAGCUGUGCUUGAAUUAACUUCAAUUUCCUCAUCUGUAAAAUGGGGGUGAUGGCUCGUAGGGCUGCUGAAUGGAUCGGAUGCUCAAUACUCAAUAAACAGCAGCGGUCACUAUUUUUACAGAACUGGUCCCUUUGCAUAGUUGUCCUCUGGCUCUCAUUCGGAGGCCUGGGGUCCCUUCUGGUCUAACCCGGAAAGUUUUGUUUUUCUGCUAGCGCCAGGCAGGCACCUUUCAGAAGGUGCGAGGACAACUGGCAAUGAAGAGAGCACCCGGCAAAGCACACGUGGGCCUUCAGUAUGACUCGACCGCGUGCCUGCCUGGAUUUUCAAAGAAAGGAAAUGGCAGCAGUGAAGACAGAUGUCAGGGCCCGUGACUCUACCAGCCUCCUUCACGCUCAGAGCCACUAUGCGACGCAACUCUGGGGGCCCAUUAGAACAACACUGGUGGAUGUAGCAGCCCCUUCCCGGCAACCUGUCCUCUGACGUGGGGAAGAAUGAGAAUUUGGACUUUCAGAUGCUAAUUCCUCCUCACCUGAGUCCUGAGUUUUAUAUAUUCAUUAAAAUGGCAGUGGGUGUGCAGACAAGUUCUUGUACGUACGUGUUCAUAGCAUCACCGUUCACGACAGCCAAAGGUGGAGACAACCCAAAUGACCUUCAGCAGAUGGCGGGAUAAACAAAUUGCGGCGUAUGCAUUUACUGGAAUGCGAUUCCGCCACGGAGAGGAGUGAAGCACUGGUACAUGCCACAACUUGGAUGAAACGCAAAAACAUUAUGCUAAAUGAAAGAAGCCAGGGGGCCCCUGGGCGGCUCGGUGGGUUGAGUCUCCGACUUCGGCUCAGGUCAUGAUCUCACGGUUCCGGGGUUCGAGCCCCGCAUCGGGCUUUCUGCUGUCGGCACAGAGCCCGUUUUGGAUCCUCUGUCUCCCUCUCUCUCUCUACCCCUCCUCUGCUCUCUCUCUCUCUCUCUCUCUCACACACACACACACACACACGCACACACAUACAAUAAAAAAAAUUGAAAUAGCUUUUGUUGUGUGAAUUUCACCUUUUUUUUUUUUUUUUACUGACACUUCACCUUCCAACACGAAAGAAUCCUGAACGAUUCUCAAAGAGCCUGAUCUCAAAGAUAGCCUCAGGGCUAUCUUCUCCCCAAGUCUGGUUCUAGGAUCUUUGCUUAUUGCCGUAUCGGGAAAGAGAAAGAUGCUGCAGAUCUGGAGCCAGUGCAACAACUCGCCCUUCAGUGGGGAUUAUUUUGAAAAGAGACAACCAAAAAGACAGGUCCAGUCCUCUCCGCAAGACGUGUUUGAUCUCAAAGGCAGUUUGUCCUAGGUUGUGAUAUCUCUAUUGCAUUCAAUUCAUGCUUCCAUUCCAGAAAUAUUAGUGUUUUUUAAUACCUCCCCCACACCAACUGUAAGACCUUACGGCAGCUUUCUGGAUUUGCAGCGAGUCUCAUAUUCCUUCCGAACAUGGUUGGCCAGAAACUUGGGUGUCCCUGCCUAACAUAUGGAGAGAAAAACCGAUCCUCUCACUGUGUUUUCGGUUCUCUGAACGGCCUUCCCAAAAGAUACUCUUAGUAGCAAUUAUGCAGAUGUGUGGACAAGGUGAGGCUACUUUUGGAGGAUCUACUGCUACCUCAGAGGAACAAAUGCCAAAUCUCCAAACAGCGCUAUGGAUGCCCAAGAGCAGAAGACGCCCUGUGGCUCUCAGUUGGAAUCCUCCCUCUCAUUUAUCAAUCACUGUUGGUGCUCCAGGGUUGGGACGGCAGUUUGUCGAUGUUGGGAGUCUAGACUCUUUCUAGAUUCUGUGUGCUAACGUUAGGAUGUUGUCCUUAUCUACAAUGUCCAAAAUGGUUCAACAGCACAUCCACACUCCUGGAGGUGAAGGGAAAUAGGAGCAAUGGAGGACAAACUCAUUUCCUUUCAGGAACAUGGCCUGGAAAUUUCACACAUCACUGCUGCUGAUAUCCCAUUAGCCAGAAUCUAGUGGCCCUGUCACACCUACCUGCAAGGAAGGCUGGUCUUGUGCCUAGCUUAACCUUCCAUCCGAACAGAAAAAGGGGAGAAUGGAUAGUGAGAGAGACAACUAGGACUCAGGCCCACCAUCCAACUAAUGUUCCUUCUUUCACUCAUAUCUCCAGUGCCUUUGCUGCCAUUUAAAACAGGGGGUUUGUGGGGCUCCUGGGUGGCCCAGCCAGUUAAGCGUCUGACUUCGUCUCAGGUGAUGAUCUUGUGCUUCGUGAGUUCGAGCCCUGCGUUGGGCUCCGUGCUGACAGCUCAAGCCUGGAGCUUGCUUUGGAGUCUGCGUCUCCUUCUCUCUCUACCCCUCCCCUGUCCAUGCUCUGUUUCUCUCUCUCUCAAAAAGUAAAUAAACAUUAAAAAAAUAAAAAACAAUAAAACAUUGAGUUCGUGCCCCACCUCUGAGCCUUUACUCAUGGUCUUCCCUAACGUGGAAGGGUCUGUCCACUUCUCCACAUCCAUAUUGCCUUCACUGCCCCCUCUGCCUCGUCUCCUCCCUUCCUGACAACCUUCCCUGACAAUCCCAGCCCUCAGUGACUUCCCAAGGCGUCCCUUGACCUUUAUGUUUUCAUUGUACAUGAUGUCCUAUAUAGCUAAGGUUUAAUUUCAGAACUAGACAGCACAUUUCUUGGGAACAGGGUCCUCAUCGUAUAUUUUUCUUGUAUCCUUCAUGGUCUCUAGCUCGGUGCUGAGCACACAUAUGUAUUUAACAAUUACUCUCUGAAAUGAAUUGAAGUUGAUUAGAAUGACAUGCUCAACAAUCUAGGACAAUACUUUUAUUCUUCUUUGAUUAUAGUAUUUUUUCACCUAAGUGGUCUGCAUGUAAUUAUAUAUAUACAGUUUUAUAUAAAUACAUACACAUAUUAAUUUACUUAUAUAAGUAUAUAUAAAGAGUUUAAUCUCUAUAAUAUAAAAAAUUUAUAUGUACAUACAUAUAUGCACACAUUUGCAACUCAAGAAACCAGGUUUAUUCUUAUUUAGUUUUCUUAUCCUCUUGUUUACUGGGCAAACUUUUCAUCAACGUUACCUGCACUGUUUCAAAACUUAAAUAGGAUAAGCAGAACCUGAGCAUUUAGCACAGCACUGGCACACAGCCAGCACUAAAUAAAUGCUAAAAUUAAAAAAAAAAAAGGCAAGAGCAAAGUAUAAAUGUAAACUGAGUUAGAACUUACUGCCAGAGCAAGGAUUCUGGUAUUAGACCCUGGUCUGAACUUUGUUUCUUCUAUUUAUUCACAGUUUUGUAGAGUAUUAAGUGAAUUGACUCAUCGUGCUUGUCAAUGAUCUCUCAGUUCCAUGCACACCCUUUAUACUUUGAUCUGUAAGGCUAUGGGCUUAGAUUCUGAAAAUGAGAUUUCCAAGAUUCCCUUGCGAGCUGAUUUCCACUUAGGGUCUGCAAUUGGGAGGCACAACUGGGAGACUGGGAGGCAGGAGGAGAGAGGAAGGGACUUCCUUCCUCUUUCCACCUUCCUUACGACAGCUACCACUCUGACAACUUUAGACCAGAGUCUUGCCACUUCCUACAGGCCCUGUCACCAGCCACCCAGUGCCCUUUGGCAAUCUUAGUGCCGAGUAUAUGAUGGUCCUACAGCAGCCCAACAACAAAGAUGGUGGCUCUUCCUCUACAUUCCUAGGUUAUACCUCUUUCCUUUUGUUCCCCCCAGCCCUAAGUUGCUCCCUGUAUUUACCGACUUCACUGCUUUCUUUUGGAUAUUCCAACACAUGUGAAAUCCAUUCACUAUAUUAAAUACCCCCUGGUUAAAAUACCUAUUAUAAUUUCUGUUUUCCUGAUGGCAUUUUGAUUGAUACGGCAUGCAAUGUGCUUAAGGCCUUUCAUCUUCUCAACAAAUGUUAGUUCUCCCCUAGGUGAUUAUAUCUGCUGUGUUAAAAGAAAAUGCAUGAUAGAAGCGAAGAUAUAUUCACUGUAUUUUUUACAUUACCAUUUCUUUUCAGAGUUCUUGAGCUUUCUUCAUGGGCUCCCAUUUCAGAUGUGAGGGUUAGUGCAAACUCCCAUGGAUGGUAAGUGAGAAUCAGGGCUUGGCCUUGGUUGAAAUUGGGGGGAGAGCCAAAGAAAAUUAACUUUCCAACAACUAGGCUUAUACCACUGGGAUAUGACUGAAGCCCAGGAUGGGGGAUCCUAAAAGAGAACAAAAGAGAAUGCCACAAAUAUCUAUCACAUCAUCUGUUCUCUUGGCUACUCUUACCUCUUCCUUCUCCAUUAUGCGUUUACACUGACCUGAUCUGAGAAACAUCUCCAACUCAUAAAAACAUUGGUUCUUUAAGCCCAUGUUUCUCUCACUCAUUACCCACACCAGUUUUCCUAGAUUCAAAUCAGAAGCCCAUGAAGAACCCCUUGGGUGAGAAGUGAUCCCAUGAAUGUUGAAGGAAGCUUUGCCCUCACCGGAGAAUCAAGGCACUAGGUUAUCAUGAAAUCCAGUCCUUUGCAAUUAUUAUUGUAUCAAGUGAGAUGUCGUCUCACUGAUGGGCUUCCGAAUUCCAUCUCAAUGGAGAAAUCCACAGCAACCAACAAAGUGUAAGGAGAGAAAGCAGAGCCAGGGAGGGGUUAGUGUAAUAAGCUGGUGACUGCAAAUAAUAUGACUUUAUUUAUUAUUUUAACAAAUAAAUCAGAGCUUAUAUUUCCAAAUAACAAAUUUUUUUUUCCAACCGUGCUACCAUGGCUCACUGUAUUUUAAAAUUAUCCCUAGAGCCUGCUGCAGAAUUUUAUAAAAAAUUCUCAAAUCUUCCUGGCCUCAAAUCUUCCUCCGUGAGUGGAUUUGGUGAUUUGGAAACAAUUGAAGUCAUUUGGAAGUAAAUCUGGUGACCAAGGUAUGUGAACAAGAUGGGAAACACCAUUAUUUGGUCAAAUUUGGCUGUAACCAAAAGAAACCAGGACUGGGGGGGGGUGGGGGUGGGGAAUGUAAGCUAAAUGUGAGUAGAGUUUUCAAAGAGAAAUUGCAAGCAUUUUAGAUAGUAUUUGGAAGAAGUAAUAGUCUUCCAAAGAUGACUUCAAAGAUGACUAUUUUAUAUAUAUAUUUUUAAUGUUUAUUCAUUUUUGAGAGAGAAAGAGAGAGACAGAGCGUGAGCAGGGAAGGGGCAAAAAGAGAGGGAGACACAGAAUCUGAAGCAGGCUCCAGGCUCUGAGCUGUCAGCACAGAACCUGAUGCAGGGCUCAAACCCGCGAACCACAGGAUCUUGACCUGAGCUGGAGUCAUACACUUAACCAACUGAGCCACCCAGGUGCCCCAUGGAUGACUAAUUUAAAGGAUGGUGCUCAUCAUGAGUAACUGGAUCACGUGUGUGUGUGUGUGUGUGUGUGUGUGUGUGUGUGUGUGUGUGUAAUCAACCUAACUUUAUAAUAUUAUAUUUAUAGAAGUUGUUCUCAGUUUUCUCUCUACAUAUGAAGAUGCCCCGUCCAGGGUAUUCUUCCCUGCCUAUCAUGACCUCAGGCCAGGAGUUUGUCUCAGAAAAACAUGGAUUUUGGAAAAAGAUUAGUAUGCAAAUCUGUGCCUAAACGACUUACUGUGUCUGAAAUCUUAAGCAAGUUGCUUGAGCUCAUUGCACUUUAGUUUUCUGAUGUAUAUAAUGGACAAAAUACAAUGGAGUGAUUAAGAGGCUUAAGAAACUAUGUAUGUAAGUGCCUAGCUGAGUGCCUUGGCCCAGAGCAGACACUCAACGAAUGGUUACUAUUAUUGGUGCAAACAUAAUUGUUUUCAGUUUAUAUUUUAAUUCCAGUUACUUAGAUACAGUGUUAUAUUUCACGUAUACGAUAUAGUGAUUCAAAAAUUCCAUAUAUCCCUCAGUGUUCAUCACGACAAGUGCACUCCUUAAUCCCCAUCAGCCAUUUCACCGUCCUCCACCCACUUCCCCUCUGGUAGCCAUCAUUUUGUUCUCUAUAGUUAAAAUCUGCUUCUUGGUUUGUCUCUCUCUCUCUCUCUCUUGCAUGUUAGUUUUGUUUCUUAAAUUCUACAUAUGAGUGCGAUCAUAUGGUAUGUCUCUGACUGACUUAUUUCUCUUAGCGUUAGACUCUCUAGCUCCAUCCAUGUUGUUGCAAAUGGCAAGAUUUCAUCCUUUUCUGUGGUUGAAUAAUAGGUGUAUACAUAAAACUUCCUCUUGGUCUAUUCAUUAAUCAGCAGGCACUUGGGCUGCUUCCAUGUCUUGGCUAUUAUAAAUAAUGGUGCUAUAAAUAUAGGGGGUGUAUGAAUCCUUUUGAAUUAGUGUUUUCGUAUUCUUUGGGUAAAUACCCAGUAAUGCACUUGCUGGAUUGUAGGGUAGUUCUAUGUUUAACUUUUUGGGGAUGAUCCAUAAUAUUUUCCACAGUGGUAGCACCAGUUUGCAUAUCCACGAACACUCAAGAGGGUUCCCCUUUCUCCACGUCCCUGCCAACACCCAUUGUUGAUUGUAGCCAUUCUGACAGGUGUGAGGUGAUAUCUCAUUGUAGUUUUGAUUUGCAUCGUUCUAAUGAUAAGUGAUAAGCAUCUUUUCAUGUGUUUGUUGGCUGUCUGUAUGUCUUUUUUGGAGAAAUGUCUGUUCAUGUCUUUUGCCCAUUUUUACAUUGGAUUACUUGUUUUUUGGGUAUGCAAGCAUAAUUAUUAUCAUCAGGGUAUAGCUGUGGCAUCGAGACCCUCAUCAAUCAUUUCUGAGAGAGAGAGACCGAUGUAGAGAGACCAAUAUGUCUAUUUAUAUGAACCAGACAGCCAAGCCUAGAGAAGCCAAUGGUGAAUUCUAUGUAGAGGAGGGAGGAGCCAAUGAUAGCACAAUGGAAUAGUUUCCUCUUCUUUUGGUCCACUUAUAGGAUACUGCAAAAUGGGAAAAUUGUGUCAUCUCAAUGUACAUCUGUGUUAGAAUGUUAACACAAAGAUAUUUAACCAAUAGUGUUAGGAAUGCCUGCAGUCUUUUGCAUACUCCACAUAGUUGAGGUUUUCCUCUUUGAGAACCAACACUUUUCCCAAAAUAUUAAUUGUUUGGAAGAAAAGCAUUCAAAAACUCACCAUUCACCCCUCUACCUUUUAAAGCAAAGGACAGGAUUUAACUUUUUUGUUAUAAGCCAGGACGAUCAUCAUGAACAUCUGUUGCAGUGUGGACGAGUAGCUCAGGGCUGGGCCUACUUUGGCUUUUUCUGCCCUCUCCUUCCUUGGUGUCAGGCAUUGCCUGGAUAUGACAGGCUUGAGAUGCAACACAUCUACCAACCUUGGAAACAGGCAGAUACUCAGAAACCAGCAACGUUCAGGACAGUGACCACAUACUACUUAGGGACAUAGAUUCGUUCAUAGGCAGACCUGAAAUGAGACCCUCCUUCAGCCAGGUAAUCUUGAGCAAAUUACUGUACUGAACCUCAGUUUCUUCAUCCGUUCAAUGAGGAUAAAAAUAGUACCUAGCUCAUAGGCGAGUCAUGAGUCUCCAGUAGGAAAAUAGACAUAAAGUGCUUAGCAUGGCACUGGGCAGAUAUCAGAUGCUCAAUAAACAUUCCCUACUACCAUAAUUAUUACUACUAGCAAGCAAGGUCUCCCAGACUCUCUGACUUCCCUACUGUGAUACUCAUAAACACUCAGCCUUUGGUUUUUUUCCUUCCAUCUGUCAAAUAGGACUGAUAAAAGGUAGUCUGAACAGCCAGUGACCAAAGCCCCCUUGAAUUUUUCCCCCUAAUCUGGUGAAACUCCCAGAUAAGAGAAUUUCAGCCAAAGGAGAACGUCAAUAAUUCUGUGAAAAGCCAAUCAUUCUCAUAAGGGCCAAGUUUCUCACACGGCCGGAAUGGCCCCCCCAGACCGGCUGUAUCUGCCCCUCUGAGCUGUGCAGUCAGACACGCCAAGAGCAGGAGUGCGCUCCGGGGACCAAACACCAAGUCACCAGGUCAUGGCUGGUGAUCCCUGGUGGCAGAAGCGGGGAGGCAGGCAGGAAGCCCCCAGAGUCUCUCGUCUGGCACUAUUCACGGCACUAAGAGAAAUGUCCUCCAGAGCACUGGCAGGUGCCUAUCUGGUGAGGAUUCGGUACGUUGCAGCUCUCCAAGCGGUUAUUUUCUAUCUUCUGUAUCCCGCAGGGGCUAAUUCACGUCCUCAGCGGUGUACUAUUCUGGCUAUUCCACCACUGGGGAAUAUAAUUUAAGGUCUCUCUGGAGUUACAGGAAGGCAACAACAACAGCUUCAGUCUUUGUGCAGUUCAGAUCGGGAGCUGUUGGGCAGGUCCCAGCCUACGCCUCACCACGUGCCAGCACCGUGAGGAAACCAACAACCGGAGCUGGAAUAAGCCGACAAGUGUUUUCACCCAGCACGUGCCGUCGGGUUAGGGCUCCAGUCUCUGUACCAACUUCCUGGCAAACACUCACUUCUCCCAGGGACGCACUGCCUUAAAAUGAUAUUCCCAGGAUAAGUGCCAGAUUGGAGACCAUCUGACACUGUUUUAUAUUUCAUAUCCCCAAGCCUGUUCUCUCUCCAUCAAAUCUCCACAACCUCCAUGUACAUAUCAGGACGUGGACCUCACUUCAUACAGCAUUGCUUCUUUGCAAAGUUGGGGGUAUAUGUAAUGCAAGUCAUAUUUUAAACGCACGAGGUGACCUUGAAAUUGUGUUAGGUCGCUAUCGCUGCAUAACAAAUUAUCCCCCCCAACAUAUGGGAUAACACAAUAAUAAAUAUUUAUUAUCCUCACGAUAUCCGUGGGUCGGGAAUUCAGGCGUGCCUUAGCUGGGCGGUUCUGACUUGGGUUCUCUCCCGAGGUUAGAGUCACGAUGUUGGCUCGGGCCGCUGUCUCCUGGAGAGCCUGCUUCCAAGAUGGCUGGCUCACACCGCCAGCCGGUUGGUGCUGUCGUUGGUGGAGGCCUCGCUUUCUCCCCACAUGGACCUCUCAGGCUAUUUGAAUGUCUUCACAAGGCCGCUAACUUCCCCUAGAGUGAGUGACCCAUGAGGGAGAGCCAGGUGAAAGCUAUCCUUUUUAUGACCGUCUUAGAAGUCACAUCUUAUUCAUUGGAAGGGAGUCCAUCACUCAACUAGGGAGGGAAUUCACUUGACUUUUGAAGUGAGCAUCGUCACGGUAUUAGCGAACACAUUUGAAAGCCACCAGAAACAUUUAGGAGUGAAUCAUUCGUUCAUUUGACAAAUAUUUGUUGAGUACCCACCACGUGCCCACACCGUUCUAGAAGGUUGGGACACAUCCCGGACAAAACAGACCAAAGUCCCUGCCUGACCUUGUCAGACUAAAUUCUAGUGGAGAGAGACAAAAUAAACAACAAGCCUAACAAUUGUGUUUUGUGUAGUGGGCUGCAGAUUUAAGUGCUCUGGCGAAAAAGAGAUCUAGGGAAGAGAGCUCCAGAAUCCUAGAGUCAGGUUACAUCGUUUUAAAACUUUAUUUAUUUUGAGAGAGAUAGAAGGAGGGGCGGAGAGUGGAAAAGAGAGAGAAUCGCAAGCAGGAUUUGCACUGUCAACACAGAGCCUGAUGUGGGGCUCCAACUCACAAACCGUGAGAUCAUGACCUGAGCUGAAAUCUGGAGUCGGUCGCUCAACCGACUGAGCCACCCAGGUGCCCCAAGUCAGUUACAUUUUAAAUAGAGUCAUCAGACUUGUUCUCACUGAGAAGACAGCGUGGGGAAGGCAGUGAUUGGAGAAGUAAUGGGACCGUGUGCAUAGCCUCAUAGUCCACCAUCUGACCACAGAACCCAUGCAUCCUGGUGGUUGUCACCCUGCUCCCUCAUGGGGACAUGGAUGGGGAGAGAAGUUUCUCUGCACCUCAUGAGAACCGGCAGCACUCCCUUCCCCUAGAUUACAUAGGAAAAGGUGUUCUUGUGGCCAUCCCCAGCUGCAGGUGACCUUCAUGGCCAUUCAGAGGAAGCUUCCGUGCCACCCUGGGACAAGCUGUAGGCAGCAUGGGCAUAUAACACCGUGCAUCCAAGGGGGAAAGACAAGUGAGUCACUCGGUCCUAAAGAGAUCGCAUUUGGAAGAGCAGCACUUUUGCAGGGCGGAAUGUGUGCUUUCAGUGCUUCCAUUGAUCACGGUGUUUCUACCACUGAAGGCAAGCUCCAGACCACACCCAACAGAAGCCGCCCAGCCCUGGGAAUGGCAGAAUUUUGAAGUUUUCUGAAUCAUGAAGGGAGGGAACAGGAAGGAGAAGACAUUCCUGGCUUGCGUGUGGCCCAAAAGGGGUCAGCACCCUGCUGGCCGUAUAGGGUCUCUCAGGAGACCCUUGCCAACAGAGUGCCUCGGGCUGGCGGAGCUAGGGAUGAAGUAGGGCAGGGCGGGUGCCAGACGAUUCAAGGAGAGCACCCGGUUCUAAUUCAGCCAUCCAGGCAGGCAAGAGGAGGCUCAGGGCAGGGGGAGGGGCAGGGGGUAUUUGCACAGCGAUGUGUGAGCCCUAUUCGGGGGGCAGUUAUGAUCUCGAGAGUGUGGCGACUAACACACCGGGACAUAGGCGGCCCCCCAGUCUCCCAUGCAACAGACCCCAUGAAGAGGGACCCUAUCUCAAGCGUAGACAGAGGUGCACAAGAGGGCAUCGGUUCAGGGUCCGAGGGAGACCUGUACAUGUAGCAAGAGAUGGUUCCCUAACAGGAUCAUCAAUCCAGCCCAGAUGACCUCACCCAAAGAUGGCCGUGAGGAGAGAACGAAGGAGAAAGCUCAGCCCCUGGAGGUGCCAUAGACAGUCGGUGCUCACCACGUCAGUAGGUAACAAGCGCUAGGGUAAGUGACGAGAACACGAAGGAGCCCCCUGGGUGUCAGAACAGUCAUCGAUAGCCAUGUCUGAAGCCCAUGGAGGCUGACAGGGGACAUAGGGUGCACAUGUUGAGUUCCACAUUUAUUCUUUCUCCAAGGGAAAUCCUUGAAUGGCUAAAAGGCAGAGACGGGGUCGGGGUCGACACAGCCAGGUAUGUAUCCUGGUGAUGCCAUUUACUGUGUCAGAGAAGUCCCUUUGUUUGUCUGUAGCCCCGGUUUCCUCACCUGUCAACCUCACACAGCUGGUGAGAGAUAAAUGAGAAACUGCUUCACAUGAUUCCCAGACUAUAGAAGUAGUCCACAAAUAGCUGCUAUUUUUAUUGUCACUAUUUUUACAAAUGUUGUGGACAGCCACUGUGGGGGCUUUGUUUGGUUUUGUUACCCAACACCUCUUCCUUUGGAGAGAUUGCCCCAUCCCACCCCCACGCACUUGGGGGUGGUGUUCAGCUAAUCUUAGGACUCGGACAGGGAUGGACAAGUGGCCAAUCAAAUUCUCUCUCCCAGGGAUUGGAACCCUAAGUGCCUUCAGGCAGGAAGGCAGUCAGAGCUGAGUCAUCCUGUGACAGGGAAUUUCCUGGAGUGGCUCCUGCUAUCAUCCCUCCCAGGGUCUGAAAUCCAACUCGUCCUUCCGGUGUCUGAGCUUGGCCAGCCUCCCCGUAGUGACCCCCUCUUGCAGCCGAGAAUCCCUUCUGACAAAGCAGCCACAGGGUGGGACAUCUCUACACAGAUGGCCAUCGGAAUGGCUGUGUGGGGACACCGAGGCUGGGAAAGAGGAUGUGACCGUCCCACUUCCUCCCUUCCCUUUUCAGUUCAGGCUAUCUCUGCCCCCUGCCCUCUCUUUGUUUGGUUUACUUUUUUUUUUUUUUUUUAAUCAGGGUACUAUAGGUACUUAAAUGUGAUCAAAUAGUGAACAGAGUUGGGACAACUGGGUAGCCAUCUGGAAAAGAUGAAGCUGGUUCAACAUAUGAGGGUAAAUUCAAAAUGGAUCAAAGAUUUAAAUGUAGAAAAAUUUUAAAAUACUUAAAGUCACUAGGAGAUAGCAUUGACGAAUUACUAUGUAAUCUUUUUGUGUGGAGGACCCUGCUAAUUAUGACUCAACAUCCAGAGUCUAUCAAAGAAAAUAGUUCUAAUUUUUUAAAACGUUUAUUUAUUUUUCAGAAAGAGAGUGGGAGCAGGGGAGGGACAGAGAGGGGAAGAGAGGAUCUGAAGCAGGCUCCCAACUGACAGCAGCGAGCCCAAGGCAAGGCUCGAACCCACAAACCAUGAGAUUGUGACCUGAGCCCAAGUCAGGUGCUCAACUGACUGAGCCACCUAGGUGUCCCUAUCAAAGAAAAUAUUUCUAAAUAUCACUCCAUAUUAGUCAAAAACUUAGCAUAAAAUAAUAACAAACUCCGUUAACAAACUGAAAAAUCAAAUUGCAGUGAAAAGGAUUAAUUUCCCUAAAAUGUAAAGAACUCCUAGAAAUCAAGAAGAAAAAGAUACAAAAAAAAAAUUGAAAUUUGGGCAAAGGACAUAAUUAGAGUAUUCAGGGAAAAAAAAGAAUUAUAAAUGGCUCUUGAACAUUUAAAAGCUUCUUAACCUUACUCGUAAUUAGAGCAGGUUGAUACCCAUCAGAUUGAGAAAAAACUCAAAAGUUCGACAACACAUUCUUCUAACGAGACAGGGAAAAUAACCACUUACACAGGAUUCGGGUGAGACAAUAAGAUGCUACAAAGCCUUUGGAGAGCAAUUAGGCAUUAUCUAUCAAUAGCACCAAUACAUUUGCCCUCUGACCUCUGGAAAGUCAUCUCACAGCUUCUCUGCACACAAAUGAAAUAACAUAUGUAUAAGAUUAUUCAUUUCAGCAUUGUUGGUAAUAGCAGAACAUUGGAAACACCCCCAGUGACUAGUUUUUUAAAAAGCCAAAAGUUUGCUUUAAAAAAUCCAUCCGGGGCAUGUGGGUGGGUCAGUUGGUUAGGCGUCCAACUUUGGCUCAGGUCAUGAUCCCACGGUUCAUGGGUUUGAGCCCCGAGUCGGGCUGUAUGCUGACAGCUCAGAGCUUGGACCAGCUUCAGUUUCUGUGUCUCCCUCUCCCUCUGCCCCUCCCCCACUCAUGCUCUGUGUCUCUCUGUCUCUCAAAAAAUAAACAAAGGUUAAAAAAAAUUUUUUUUUUCUAAAUCCAUUCCAUGGUCCACCCUAGCCCCAUCCCUAAUUCUGUUUCCAGGAGCUUUAAAACCUGUUAAUUGAUUUUUCAGAUAUUCAUCUGUAAAUUUCUCUUUUAAAAUGCUUAUAUUAUUGGGGCACCUGGGUGGCUCAGUCAACUGGUCAUCUGACUCUUCAUUUCAGCUCAGGUCAUGAUCUCAUGGUCAUGAGAUCAAGAUCCAUGUUGGACUCUGCACUGAAAAUGGAGCCUGGUUGAGAUUCUCUAUCUCCCUCUCUCUCUGCCCCUCCCCUGAUUACAUGCAUGCAUGUGCACACACUCUCUCUCUCCCUCAAAAAUAAAUAAUGUUUAAAAUGUUCAUAUUAUUUCUCAAUUCUCAAUUUAAGCAUGAUCUACUGAUUUUCUACUAUAGAAGAGAACUAUUUAGCUCUAUUAUGUAUCCUCCACCCCUCAUGCACACACAGAGCUAUUCACCAUUCACCUCCAUUUUUCCAAAUGGUUACAUGACAAUUUUUUGUUAAAUUCAUACUUAAUAGUUGAGUAUCAUGACGAUGCAAAUAUCGUUUACAAUUGAAACAUAGGUAUAGGAUCAUUAACAUUCCUUUCUUGAAUAUUUAAAAUUUUUCCCUGGAGUUCAUAAUUGCCUUGUUUUUCAUUUGACCAUUUCAUUUUUGUUUGACCAUUUUUAGCGUAUUUAUCAACAAUUUAUUCCCCAAAUAUUCUAUGCAUCAUAUACGAGAUCCUCUAUCAGUUCCAAUUUUUUCCUAGAACUUUUCCAUUCAUUCUUUGUUCUCUGCAUUUGUUUCCCUCUAGUCCUGCUUCAUAGCAGCCAUCUUAAAACGUGUCUUUACUCUCACCCUGAGAAUUUCCUUUGCUCCCCCUGUCUCAUGUGUUGGAUCCAUUCAUCCAUGGGGUCUGGAUCCCAAGCCCCCUAGAUUUGAUCACUCAUUUCAGUAAAAUACAUUCUCUAGUAAAUCCUCAAGAAAAAGUACAUAGGAAAAAAAUUGAGAUCCUGCAUGUCUGAAAAUGUUUUCAUUAUACCUUCAUUUGGUAUUAGUUUGGCUUUAUAGAUCAGUUCACAAAUACUUUUUCCAAAUGUUCCAUUUCCUUCCAGCAUCCAGUGUUACUGUUGAGAA
This 49342-nucleotide long non-coding RNA is filed under the name Lynx pardinus (Iberian lynx). The record is from RNAcentral. Lineage: Eukaryota; Metazoa; Chordata; Mammalia; Carnivora; Felidae.